RNAcentral lists this long non-coding RNA (84569 nucleotides) under Triticum aestivum (bread wheat). RNAcentral describes it as "long non-coding RNA (TAES_LNC009586)". Lineage: Eukaryota; Viridiplantae; Streptophyta; Magnoliopsida; Poales; Poaceae. The record is from RNAcentral.
AAAGGUCGUGGCUGCCAAGCGAGACGCAGCAAAGUCUGUUGACAAUGCAUUAAAGUAUGGUGCCAUCUCUCGGAAAGCAGCCGGUACAAGUUCUUCUACCUCCCCCAAUAGGAAAGAAGGCACCACUGAUGCUGCUAAGAUGUUCACCAAGAAGGCUGAAACCGCUACCACACCUGAAGAGGCCGCGGCUGCCAAGCAAGCUGCAGCCAAGUCUACCGCUGCUGCAUCAAAGUAUGGUGUCAUUUCUCAGCAAGUAGCUGGUACAAGUUCUUCUACCUCCCCUAGCAGGAAAGAAGCUGCCGGUACCUUGGCAGGUGCUCGCAUAGCUGCUGCCGAGAAGUCCAUCAAGAAGGCUGAAACCACCACAAGACCUGAAGAGGCAACAUCCGCUAAGAAGGAUGCCGCGAAAUCCGAGGCUGAUGCAAUGAAGUACGGGGCCAUCUCUCAGCAGGCCGCCGGCAAAAAUGGUGCCUAAGUGGUGCCUUAAACACCUAUUCACACGCAACAUCAUCUACAUACUACCAUGCAUGCAAAAUAGCAGCAUUCAGAUACCACAUUAUGCUAAUUCUCAUGCAUGCACGCUUUGUUUAAACGUUCCCAUUACGAAUCAUGUAUUAAUGUCUUGCUUGUUUUAUUUUUAGUAGUAAGACACGCUUGACUUGCUUUAAAAAAAAUACAACAAUCGACGUAUACAUGUAUUAUCUGAAAAUUAAUAAUAUGAGUUCCACCGCAAUUUGUUUCUUUUUGUCAUAAUUUGGGUGCAAUCAAUGCACACAUCCAAUACACAAAAUUGGACGACUCAAUGUGUUAUGGCUCCAUGGAGCGGCGAAUCAUGUUUUAUUGUCUUGCUUGUUUUACUUUUAGUAGUAAUGUCUUGCUGGUCAAUGUAUUAUGGCUCCAUGGAGCGGCAUAAUGAUAUAUGAUAUAUCUUCACUACUUCAAAAAGAACUUAAGGUUUUGUCAUACAUCUUUCCUUCAUCCAUCCUCCCUACGAAUCCUUCCUGUUUUGAUUUUUUCUCCCAUCUUUGAUUUUUCUCCCCAUUGAUUCUACCUAAAAACCACCUCAAUGUCACAUGUUUACUGUAUAUGUCAAGGCCUCCUUUGGUUCAUAGGGUAGAAAAAACAUAGGAAUAGGAAAGUCAUAGGAAAUGAGAUGACAUGUAUCUCAAAUCCUAUGAUUGGGAAUAGGAAAGGAGAUGCCCUUUGAUUCACAUCAUAGGAUUUUUUCAUUGAAUCUAGGCUAAUGUUUAUUUUCCUAUGAAAUGUGAAGGAGAGGAAGAAUUCCUCCAUAGGAUUAGGAUUCCAUUCCUACAAACCAAAGGACUCUAAAGGAAUUUUUCCUAUAGAAAUCCUAUCCUAUGAAAUUCUUACAAGAUUCCUCCAAAUCAAAGGAGGCCCAAGUGGUUGUGAUGAGACAGUGGCUGGGCACUUCAGAUUUAUUCCCGUAACUGACUGUCAAAUUGAGUCAUCUGUCAUCCUUUCGAUGAUUGUAAGAAAGUUAUAUGUUUAUUGUAUGUGCCAAGUGGUUGUGAUUAUCGUUACCGGCCACAAAGUUAUAUUUUCUUGUCUUAACGAAGGGUUGCAUACAAUGCGUGUAGCUCUUGACGCCUGAUAACCCACAAGUAUAGGGGAUCGCAACAGUUUUUGAGGGUAGAGUAUUCAACACAAAUUUAUAGAUUCGACACAAGGGAGCCAAAGAAUAUUUGUAAGUAUUAACAACUGAGUUGUCAAUUCAACCACACCUGAAGAUUAAUUAUCUGCAGCAAAGUGAUCAGUAGCAUAGUAGUAUGAUAGUUUUGAUAGUAGUAGCAACAUCAACAGUAACGGUAACAGUGGUAGCAAUGGUUUUGUAGCAGUGACAAUAGUAACAGCAGCAGCAGUAACUUAGCAAGAACAAUAUGUACGAAAAUCGUACGCAUUGGAUCGGUGAUUUGUUGGAUGAUAUUCAUCAUGUGACAGUUACAACCUAGGACGAUACGGCACUAGCUCCAGUUCAUAAAUAUAAUGUAGGCAUGUAUUCUAUAAAUAAUCAUACGUGCUUAUGAAAAGAACUUGUAUGACAUCUUUUGUCCUACCCUCCUGUGGCAGCGGGGUCCUAUUGGAAACUAAGGGAUAUUAAGGCCUCCUUUUAAUAGAGAACCAGAAUAAAGCAUUAACACACGUGAAUACAUGAACUCCUCAAACUACGGUCAUCACAGGGAAGUGUCCCGACUAUUGUCACUCCGGGGUUGCCGGAUCAUAACACGUAGUAGGUAACUAUAACUUGCAAGGUUGGAUCUAGAACAUAGAUAUAAUGGUGAUAACAUAAGUCAUAGCAACAUCAAUCAAGAACAUAAUGGAUACUAGGGAUGAAGCCCUAACAAAACUAACUCAAUUACAUGAUGAAUCUCAUCCAACUCCUCACUGACCAGCGAGCCUACGAAGGAAUUACUCACUCCUGGUGGGGAGCAUCAUGGAAUUGGCGAUGGAGAAGGGUUGGUGAUGACGAAGAUCGAAGAUCCCACUCUCUGGAGCCCCAAACGGACUCCAAAUCUAGCCUCCCGAUGAAGAACAGGAGAUGACGGCGGCUCCGUCUUGUGGAUCGUGAUAAUUCUUUCUCCCUGAUUUUUUUCUGGAAAAAUAGGAUUUUAUAGCGUCGGAUUCAGGGCCUGCGGGGCCACCAGGUGGGGACAACCCACCUGGGUGUGCUUGGAGGGGGGGGGGGGCUGGUGGGUUGUGCCCAUCCAGGUGCCCCCCUCCGAUUGUUCUUGGCUCCAGAAAUUCUCUGUAUUUGUAUAAAAAUUCCUCGCAAAGUUUUGUUCCAAUCCGAAAACUUUUAUUUCUGCACAAAAAAAACACCAUGGUAGUUUUGUUGGAAACAACGUCAGUCCGGGUUAGUUUCAUUCAAAUCAUGCAAAUUAGAGUCCAAAACAAGAGGAAAGUGUUAGGAAAAGUAGAUACGACGGAGACGUAUCAACUCCUCCAAGCUUAAACCUUUGCUUGUCCUUAAGCAAUUCAGUUGAUAAACUGAAAGUGAAAAAAAAUUAUGAACUCUUUUGCUCUUGUUUUCAUAAAUAAGCUUAAACAUCACCCAGUGUCGGUGUCGAAACCGGCGGAUCUCGGAUAGGGGGUUCCGAACUAUGCGUCUAGGCGGAUGGUAACAGGAGACAAGGGACACGAUGUUUACCCAGGUUCGGGCCCUCUCGAUGGAGGUAAAACCCUACUCCUGCUUGAUUAAUAUUGAUGAUAUGGGUAGUACAAGAGUAAAUCUACCACGAGAUCAAGGAGGCUAAACCCUAGAAGCUAGCCUAUGGUAUGAUUGUUGUUGUCCUACGGACUAAAACCCUCCGGUUUAUAUAGACACCGGAGAGGGUUAGGGUUACACAGAGUCGGUUACAAUGGUAGGAGACCUACAUAUCCGUAUCACCAAGCUUGCCUUCCACGCCAAGGAAAGUCCCUUCCGGACACGGGACGAAGUCUUCAAUCUUGUAUGUUCAUAGUCCGGGAGUCCGGCUGAAGGUAUCGUCCGGCUAUCCGGACACCCCCUAAUUCAGGACUCCCUCAGAGCCCCCGAACGAGGCUUCAAUGACGACGAGUCCGGCGCGCAAAUUGUCUUCGGCAUUGCAAGGCGGGUUCUCCUUCAAUUUCUGUGUACCUGCUGAAUAAUGUCCGGUUUCUUAUAAAUGUAGCGCUCCUCGGCUUCCACGCCCAAUAAUGGCCGUCUUCCACGUGUCAAAUGAAUACGAAAAGUCUGGGUGUUUUUACAUUCACACCCCCAGCCGCGUAAAUGAGCUGCCUAUUUAAAGGGACGGGGAUUUAGAUCCAAACCACACCUUCUCCUCUCCGCGAGUUUCAUCAGAGCGCAUCCGACAAAGGACCGUUCCAUCAUGGCCAGCGGUCGCAGCUCCUCCUCUCGCCCUUCCAGCCCUCAUCCUGGAGAUUGGGAGAGAUGCUCCGUCCCGCACAUCGAGCUAGUGUCGCUUCGGACCAAAGGGAUUUCUUCCUCCUGCCUAUAUGGUCCCGGUUCGAGCCGGACUUGCCACCUAUAAUGGCGGAGAGCAAGCGGAGAACGCCCCCAAUCCCUCCAAAGGAGAGCGGGUAUGCCUUGUCCCUUAUUUAAUAAGAGGGCUCGGAUUUCCAAUUCAUCCAUUUCUCCGGGGGCUCCUGGAGUUCUACGGCCUCCAGCUGCACAACCUCAUGCCUGUCUCCGUAUUGCAUAUUGCGGGCUUCGUAGCCCUUUGCGAGUUGUUUUUGGGUGUUGAGGCUCAUUUCGCGCUGUGGAAGAGGCUAUUUUGCCUUGUGCCCUGUUCUUAGGAGGGGUCAAUAUAUCAAGUGGGCGGAGCCAAAGUGUGGUGUAUCGCCAGGACCGGAUAUCUAUCCGGAACCCCAAAGAAGGCGUCCGAGGACUGGCCUUCAGAAUGGUUUUAUAUAGAGGACGUCCCGUUGCCGGAUCCUGUUCGGAUCGGCCUCCCUGAGUUCAACAGCGCUCCCCUGAAGAAACGUCUAAGCUGGCACCCACGGAGCCCUCAGAGAGAAAGUGACAAGGACGUUCUUUACCUGAUGGGCCGGAUAAGAUUAUUAGCUCAUUCCGGACUAACCAUGAUCGGAGUCAUGGCCGCAUGCAUCAUGCGAGGGGUGCAACCGCUUCAGUACAGAGGCCACCCCAUGUGGGACUUCAACGGGGAGGAUGAUGCCACCCGUCACGGCCGUAAGGGGCCGGACUCGGCUACCGCUCUAGUAAAGAUCUUGUCCGCUUUGUACAAGGGAGAAGAGGAGGAAUUUCUCCGCGUCAACCCACAGGGUGGAUUUACCAUGUACAAUCCCCCAAGUUGGGUAAGUGGGCAAUUUUACUUGCCCGUCUGUUUUGUAUUCCCAUCAUUAAAUAUAUAGUCUAACGACUUCAACGCAGGAACUGCGCCAGGAAGUAAAGGACAUAAACAGCCCGCCUCCACAGCCUGAGGACCCAGAGUUGUCCCUCGAUCCGGCCUCCGAAGAGGAUCCGGACUUAUCCAUGGAGUUAAUUGAUGGGGUGUUUUAUCAAUUGAGCAAGGACAAUGCCUUGGUGGCCAUUAAGGCCGAUUACCCGGGGCUGCUCCCGGCCUCCCAGGUAACUGAGACCGAAGUCCUAGCACCUCAAAAAGGGAUCCGCCCUCGCGUGUUUUUCAGUUUCCUGACAACAACCGUGUUUUGUAGGGGAGGUUCUUGAGACGGGAGGCCGAGCCUGCGGUGACUAGCCAACGAGGGGCCACAGGGCCCCGUGGGAUGAAAAGAAGUGCAGUCCGGACUGAGGCACCGGCGCAGAGGUAUAGCGCGCCUUCUUAUUCCCAGGUGUUAUUCCUUCAAGGCAUAUUAACACUCGUGCUCUUUUCAGGACAAAAAGACCCCGCCGGACUAUAUCCAGAGAGGCUGCCAAUCGCGCCUCCACCAGCCAGGAUCCAAAGCCUGGUCCGGAGACGGAGGCGAACACGAGGCGCGCACCGGACGCUCCUCCAACAGAUGAUGCGGACAGGCUGUCCGCCACUAAUUCCGAGGUGGAGAGUGCCAUGAACCACAGGCGUCGCCGGACAGUUCUUCGCGACGCUUGUUUCUCCCAAGAGGCAUUGGACGCCUUCAAUUCGGGAGAUGCGUACCUUCGUGCCGCUCAAAAUGGUCUAGCCAGAGCCACGGAGCAAUAUGUAAAAGACAUACGGGUGAGAAAAUUUAAUGGUUAUAUAUAUCAGUAGCCCCCGAGACUUGAAACAGUUAGAAGAACUGAUUUAAGGAUCAUUCAUAAUGCAGGUUCUUGCGGAAAAGAAUACCCAACUGUCCCAGGAGCUAGAAGAGUGCAAAGCCCAACUUGAGGCCGCACUAGCCGCGACAGGGGAGCCCAAGGAGACCCCCUCUGGUAAUAUGUGCUUCAAAAAGAGAAGUAUUUUGUGAAGUGCGGCGUAUGUGCAAAUCUGACGAAUGAAAUUGCAGAUGGCGCCGGAUUAGAUCCGGAAAAGCAACAAAUCCUACGCCAGCUAAAGGCUGGUGAGAGCGUGCUGACAAAGGUGAGGCGGGAGAAGAACGAUCUCCAAUAUGCCAACACCAAGCUGGGCGUUGAACUGAAAGAUGUUUGUGCCCAGUUGUCAGACUCCGCUAAGGAGAAUCAGCGGCUUCGACGCGGCAUAUUUAGUAAGUGCUUAAACGAACUUUGAAUAAAGAGUUCGACAAGGAAGUCGACUAACGGAGUAAUGUCUGUAGGUAUGCUAACAGGUCGUCCUGCAGAGGAGAUGCCCGGUUCUAUGGGUGACCUUCUUCUUGAGCUCUUGCAACUGCACGAGCGAGUUCAACAGGUGAUGCAGGGCGUCGCCCAGGCCUUGUGGCCAUCCAUCUCCAUGCCCGAAGGACUUGGAGAGGUUGCAGAGAAGCUGAAGGGAGCGCGGCGGCGCUUCCGAUUGUGGAAGAUAUCGGCCUGCCGUCAAGGCGCUAGGGAGGCCUGGGCCAUGGUGAAGACGCGGUACACGAAGGCUGACCCAAACCACAUGGCCGAGGUCGGACCUGUGGGGCCCGAUGGGAAGGAGAUCCCUGUAAGCUUAGUAUACGGCCAAGUAGAAUUGCCCGCAAAGUAUUCCCAGCAGGACUGUAAGCUAGACAGCAUGUUAGAUGGUAUUGAAGAGGAAUACAAUUAGUCAUAAUGACUAUGUAAUUUUAAUUGACAUGUGUAAUGCCUUCUAGCCGGAUUGUAGAUCGUUUUUCAUGGCCGACCUUUUUGCUUCGACCUCGGGACCUGACGGUCCGGAGUGUGUCCGAAUACCCUUGCGGUUAUAUAAGAACCGGGGUAUGCAUGGAGACCAGGCGUAGGGGUCAUUAGUGCUUGAACAGACAAGUGCCCGACUAGUUAUGUUAUAUUACAUGGUUAGUAAGAAACAUCUUCCAGGGAGAAUAGUUCCGUUAGGGGUUCCUUUCCCUGGGAGGCAUGCCCUAAAGUGCAUGUCCAUUCUGCGAAAAGAGACGCAGGAAAAAACAUCUGGGGGCGCAUAGAUAAAUAAGUGAAAAAAAUCAUCUUUAGUUCACCGACCGAAUAUUCCCUUAAGGACGCUAGCUUUCGGCUUCACCCAGUCUGAGGUACACAUCGGGCUGACCCGGCAGUAACAAUCGCAGAGGUGCUCCCUUUACCACCUAGCCGAACAAUCGGAAACAUAGGGCUAAGCACAGGAGCCAGGCAACCCAGCUUGGCUAAAACUUAAGUCAUAUCGAUACAUAUGAUGGUGAAUAAAAGGUACAUGCGGAAGUGUGACACAUGUGUUGGGCAUGAAGCCCGUAUAAGCUUCUGUUCAAAGAAGCCCCCAGGUUUAGUGAGCGCGGAUAGCGCGUCACUUGAUGAGCCUUUAAAGGCUAUAAGAGAAAGGAGGGGGAGAAGGAGAAAAUGGAAGACAGAAAAUAUAAAAAAUGGACAGAGGAAGGAGACGAACAUAGAAUCCGGCGCUAGGCAUAGAAUCUUCGGAGACGGGCUGCGUUCCAUGGGUUCGGCUCGAGUCGGUUAUCCGAUGCAUCUCACAGGCGGUACGUUCCACCAGUCAGGACUUGGUCAAUUAUGAAGGGACCUUCCCACUUGGGCUGGAGUUUGUCCUUUUUCUUGUCCGGCAGGCGUAGAACUAGUUCGCCAACAUUGUAAUUUUUGGCCCGUACUUCUCUGCUUUGAUAUCUUCGAGCCUGCUGUUGAUAGAAUGCGGAACGGGCUUUUGCCACGUCACGCUCCUCCUCCAAGGCGUCCAAACUGUCCUGCCGAUCGAGCUCGGCUUCUCUUUCUUCGUACAUGUGCACUCAAGGUGAGUCAUGAAUUAUAUCGCAGGGCAAAACUGCUUCUGCGCCGUACACCAUGAAGAAUGGUGUGUAUCCGGUGGUGCGAUUCGGCGUGGUCCGCAGCCCCCAGAGUACGGAGUCGAGCUCCUCUACCCAGUGCGUGUUAGAUUCCUUAAGGGACCGCACUAAUCUGGGUUUGAUGCCGCUCAUGAUAACACCAUUUGCGUGUUCGACCUGUCCGUUAGUUUGUGGGUGAUAGACGGAAGCAGAAUCGAGCUUGAUGCCCAUGUUUUUGCACCAGAGUUUUACCUCAUCGACCGUAAAGUUCGUACCGUUAUCAGUGAUGAUGCUGUGGGGGACGCCGUAACGGUGUACGACCCCGGAUAUAAAGUCUAUCACUGGUACAGAUUCGGCCGUCUUAAUAGGCUUGGCCUCUAUCCAUUUGGUGAACUUAUCCACCAUGACCAGUAAGUAUUUUUUCUUGUGGGUUCCGCCUUUAAGGGGUCCAACCAUGUCAAGCCCCCAGACCGCGAAGGGCCAAGUGAUGGGGAUAGUUUGGAGGGCGGUGGGUGGCAUAUGGCUUUGGUUUGGCAAAAGCUGGCAACCGACGCAUCGUUGGACUAAGUCCUGAGCGUCUGCCCGGGCCGUUGGCCAAUAAAAGCCUGUACGGAAAGCCUUGCUUACGAGGGACCAAGCUGCGGUGUGAUGACCACCGAGUCCGGCAUGAAUUUCAGCCAGCAAGUUCCGCCCAUCCUCCUCAGAGAUGCACCUUUGAAGGACUCCGGUAGUGCUUUUCUUAUAAAGCUCUCCCUCAUGGACUUUAUAGGCUUUAGAUCGCCGCACUAUGCAGCGUGCCUCAUUUUGGUCUUCUGGGAGUUCCUGCCUAGUAAGAUAGGCUAGGAAUGGUUCUGUCCACGGGGCGAUGACUGCCAUUAUUACGUGGGCUGAAUAUGUGACUUCAUUGGCAGAGUCUCCAAUUAUGUCAGUGUUGGCUAACGUAGCAGAAAUUCAAAAUUUUCCUACGUGUCACCAAGAUCUAUCUAUGCAGAAACCAGCAACGAGGGGAAGGAGAGUGCAUCUACAUACCCUUGUAGAUCGCUAAGCGGAAGCGUUCAAGAGAACGGGGUUGAAGGAGUCGUACUCGUCGUGAUCCAAAUCACCGAUGAUCCUAGUGCCGAACGGACGGCACCUCCGCGUUCAACACACGUACAGCCCGGUGACGUAUCCCACGCCUUGAUCCAGCAAGGAGAGAGGGAGAGGUUGAGGAAGACUCCAUCCAGCAGCAGCACAACGGCGUGGUGGUGGUGGAGGAGCGUGGCAAUCCUGCAGGGCUUCGCCAAGCACCACGGGAGAGGAGGAAGGAGAGAUGCAGGGCUGCAUCAUAUAGAGGAGAGGAACUCGCGUCUUAUGAGCAGCCCAAACCUCAACUAUAUAUAGGGGAAGGGGAGGGGCUGCGCCCCCUUUAGGGUUUCCACCCCUAGGGGUGGCGGCCAGCCUAGAUCCCAUCUAAGGGAGGCGGCCAAGGGGGAGGGGGAGAGGGAGGCGCACCAGGAUGGGCCUUAGGGCCCAUCUGCCCUAGGGUUUGCCCCCUUCUCCUCUCCCUUGCGCCUUGGGCCCUUGUGGGGGGGCGCACCAGCCCACCUGGGGCUGGUCCCCUUCCACACUUGGCCCAUGAAGCCCUCCGGGGCUGGUGGCCCCACUUGGUGGACCCCCGGGACCCUCCCGGUGGUCCCGGUACGUUACCGAUAAACCCCGAAACUUUUCCGGUGACCAAAACAGGACUUCCCAUAUAUAAAUCUUUACCUCCGGACCAUUCGGGAACUCCUCAUGACGUCCGGGAUCUCAUCCGGGACUCCUAACAACAUUCGGUAACCACAUACAAACUUCCUUUAUAACCCCAGCGUCAUCGAACCUUAAGUGUGUAGACCCUACGGGUUCGGGAGACAUGCAUACAUGACCGAGACGUUCUCCGGUCAAUAACCAACAGCGGGAUCUGGAUACCCAUGUUGGCUCCCACAUGUUCCACGAUGAUCUCAUCGGAUGAACCACGAUGGCAAGGACUUAAUCAAUCCCGUAUACAAUUCCCUUUGUCUAUCUGUACGAUACUCGCCCGAGAUUCGAUCGUCGGUAUCCCGAUACCUUGUUCAAUCUUGUUACCGGCAAGUCUCUUUACUCGUUCCGUAACACAUCAUCCCAUGAUCAACUCCUUGAUCACAUUGUGCACAUUAUGAUGAUGUCCUACCGAGUGGGCCCAGAGAUACCUCUCCGUCACACGGAGUGACAAAUCCCAGUCUCGAUUCGUGCCAACCCAACAGACACUUUCAGAGAUACCCGUAGUGUACCUUUAUAGCCACCCAGUUACGUUGUGACGUUUGGCACACCCAAAGCACUCCUACGGUAACCGGGAGUUGCACAAUCUCAUGGUCUAAGGAAAUGAUACUUGACAUUAGAAAAGCUUUAGCAUACGAACUACUUAGGAUUGGGUCUUGUCCAUCACAUCAUUCUCCUAAUGAUGUGAUCCCGUUAUCAACGACAUCCAAUGUCCAUGGUCAGGAAACCGUAACCAUCUAUUGAUCAACGAGCUAGUCAACUAGAGGCUUACUAGGGACAUGGUGUUGUCUAUGUAUCCACACAUGUAUCUGAGUUUCCUAUCAAUACAAUUCUAACAUGGAUAAUAAACGAUUAUCAUGAACAAGGAAAUAUAAUAAUAAUCAAUUUAUUAUUGCCUCUAGGGCAUAUUUCCAACAGUCUCCCACUUGCACUAGAGUCAAUAAUCCAGUUCACAUCGCUAUGUGACUAACACUCAAGGUCACAUGCCCAUGUGACUAACACCCAAAGAGUUUACUAGAGUCAAUAAUCUAGUUCACAUUUACCAUGUGAUUAACACUCGAUGAGUUCUGGGUUUGAUCAUGUUAUGCUUGUGAGAGAGGUUAUAGUCAACGGGUCUGAACCUUUCAGAUCCGUGUGUGCUUUACAAAUCUCUAUGUCAUCUCCUAGAUGCAGCUACCACGCUCUAUUUGGAGCUAUUCCAAAUAGCUGUUCUACUAUACGAAUCCAGUUUACUACUCAGAAUAAUCUGGAUUAGUGUCAAAGUUUGCAUCGGUGUAACCCUUUACGAUGAACUCUUUUACCACCUCCAUAAUCGAGAAAAUUCCUUAGUCCACUAGUUACUAAGGAUAACUUUGACCGCUGUCCUGUGAUCCAUUCUUGGAUCACUCUUGUACCCCUUGACUGACUCAUGGCAAGGCACACUUCAGGUGCGGUACAUAGCAUAGCAUACUGUAGAGCCUAUGUCUUAAGCAUAGGGGACGACCUUCGUUCUUUCUCUCUAUUCUGCCGUGGUCGAGCUUUAAGUCUUAACUUCAUACCUUACAACUCAGGCAAGAACUCCUUCUUUGACUGAUCCAUCUUGAACACCUUCAAGAUCAUGUCAAGGAAUGUGCUCAUUUGUAAGUACCAUUAAGUGUUUUGAUCUAUCCUUAUAGAUCUUGAUGCUCAAUGUUCAAACAGCUUAAUCCAGGCUUUCCAUUGAAAAAACACUUUCCAAAUAACCCUAUAUGCUUUCCAGAAAUUCUACGUCAUUUCUGAUCAACAAUAUGUCAACAACAUAUAUUCAUCAGAAAUUCUAUAGUGCUCCCACUCACUUCUUUGGAAAUACAAGUUUCUCAUAAACUUCGUAUUCACCCAAAAUCUUUGAUCAUCUCAUCAAAGCAUACAUUCCAACUCGAGAUGCUUACUCCAGUCCUUAGAAGGAUUGCUGGAGCUUUGCAUACUUAUUAGCAUAUUUCAGGAUUGACAAAACCUUCCGGUUGUAUCACAUACAACCUUUCCUCAAAAAUCGUCGAGGAAACAAUGUUUUGACAUCCUAUCUGCAAGAUUUCAUAAAUGAUGCAGUAAUUGCUAAUAUAAUUCCAACAGACUCUUAGCAUCGCUAUGAGUGAGAAAGUCUCAUCGUAGUCAACUCCUUGAACUUGUCGGAAAACAUCUUAAUGACAAGUCGAGCUUUCUUAAUGGUGAUACUUACCAUCAUUGUCCGUCUUCCUUUUAAAAUCCAUAUGUACCUAACAGCCUUACGACCAUCAAGUAGUUCUUCCAAAGUCUACACUUUGUUUUCACAUAUGGAUCCUCUCUCGGAUUAUAUGGCCUUGAGCCAUUUUGGAAUCCAUGCCCACCAUCGCUCCUCCAUAGCUCGUAGGUUCAUCGUUGUCUAGCAACAUGACUUCCAAGACAGGAUUACGUACCAUUCUGAAGCAGUACACAUCCUUGUCAUCCCACGAGGUUUGGUAGUGACUUGAUCUGAAGUUUCAUGAUCACUAUCAUAAGCUUCCACUUCAAUUGGUGUAGGUGCCACAGGAACAACUCCCUGUGCCCUGCCACACACUAGUUGAAGAGAUGGUUCAAUAACCUCAUCAAGUCUCCACCAUCCUCCCACUCAAUUCUUUCGAGAGAAACUUUUCCUCGAGAAAGGACCCGAUUCUAGUAACAAUCCCUUAUUGCUUUCGAAUCUGAGACAGGAGGUAUACCCAACCGUUUUGGGUGUCCUAUGAAGAUGUAUUUAUCCGCUUUGGGUUCGAGCUUAUCGGCCUGAAACUUUUUCACAUAAGCGUCGCAGCCCCAAACUUUUAAGAAAUGACAGCUUAGGUUUCUCUAAACCAUAGUUCAUACGGUGUCAUCUCAUCAGAAUUACGUGGUGCCCUAUUUAAAGUGAAUGUGGUUGUCUCUAAUGCCUAACCCAUAAACUAUUGUGGUAAUUCGAUAAGAGACAUCAUGGUAUGCAUCAUAUCCAAUAGGGUGCAGUUAUGAUGUUCGGACACACCAUCACACUAUGGUGUUCCAGGCUGUAUCAGUUGUGAAACAAUUUCCACAAUGUCUUAAUUCUGUGCCAAACUCGUAAUUCAGAUAUUCAUCUCUAUGAUCAUAUCAUAGAUAUUUUAUCCUCUUGUCACGAUGAUCUUUCAACUUCACCCUGAAAUUACUUGAACCUUUCAAUAAUUCAGACUCGUGAUUCAUCAAGUAAAUAUACUCAACAUCUACUCAAAUCAUCUAUGAAGUAAGAACAUAACGAUAUCCACUACAUGCCUCAGCACUCAUUGGACUGCACACAUCAAAAUGUAUUACUUCCAACAAGUUGCUUUCUAGUUCCAUUUUACUGAAACUGAGGCUUUCAGUCAUCUUGCCCAUGUGGUAUGAUUUGCAUGUCUCAAGUGAUUCAAAAUCAAGUGAGUCCAAAUGGUCCAUUUGCAUGGAGUUUCUUCAUGCAUAUACACCAAUAGACAUGGUUCGCAUGUCUCAAACUUUUCAAAAACGAGUGAUCCCAAAGAUCCAUCAACAUGGAGCUUCUUCAUGCGUUUUAUACCGAUAUGACUUACGUGGCAGUGCCACAAGUAGGUGGUACUAUCAUUACUAUCUUAUAUCUUUUGGCAUGAACAUGUGUAUCACUACGAUCGAGAUUCAAUAAACCAUUCAUUUUAGGUGCAAGACCAUUGAAGGUAUUAUUCAAAUGAACAGAGUAACCAUUAUUCUCCUUAAAUGAAUAGCCGUAUUGCGAUAGACAUAAUCCAAUCAUGUCUAUGCUCAACGCAAACAGCAAAUAACAAUUAUUUAGGUUUAACACCAAUCUCGAUGGUAGAGGGAGCGUGCGAUGCUUGAUCAUAUCAACAUUGGAAACACUUCCAACACAUAUCGUCAGCUCACCUUUAGCUAGUCUCCGUUUAUUCCGUAGCUUUUAUUUCAAGUUACAAACACUUAGCAACCGAACCGGUAUCUAAUACCCUGGUGCUACUAGGAGUACCAGUAAAGUACACAUUAACACAAUGUAUAUCCAAUAUACUUCUAUCGACCUUGCCAGCCUUCUCUUCUACCAAGUAUCUAGGGUAAUUCUGCUCCAGUGGCUGUUCCCCUUAUUACAGAAGCACUUAGUCUCGGGUUUGGGUUCAACCUUGGGUUUCUUCACUAGAGCAGCAGCUGAUUUGCCGUUUCAUGAAGUAUCCCUUCUUGCCCUUGCCCUUCUUGAAACUAGUGGUUUCACCAACCAUCAACAAUUGAUGCUCCUUCUUGAUUUCUACUUUUGUGGUGUCAAACAUCGCGAAUAUCUCAAGGAUCAUCAUAUAUGUCCCUGAUAUAUUAUAGUUCAUCACGAAGCUCUAGCAGCUUGGUGGUAAUGACUUCGGAGAAACAUCACUUUCUCAUCUGGAAGAUCAACUCCCACUCGAUUCAAAUGAUUGUUGUACUCAGACAAUCUGAGCACAAGCUCAACAAUUGAGCUUUUCUCCCUUAGUUUGCAGGCUAAGAAAAUCGUCAGAGGUCUUAUACCUCUUGACGUGGGCACGAGCCUGAAAUCCAAAUUUCAGCCCUCGAAACAUCUCAUAUGCUUCGCGGCGUUUCAAAACGUCUUCGGUGCCUCAACUCUAAACCGUUUAACUAAACUAUCACGUAGUUAUCAAAAUGUGUAUGUCAGAUGUUCGCAACAUCCACAGACAACGUUCGAGGUUCAGCACAUUGAGUGGUGCAUUAAGGACAUAAGCCUUCUAUGAAGCAAUGAGGACAAUCCUCAGUUUACGGACCUAGUCCGCAUAAUUGCUACUAUCAACUUUCAACUAAUUUUUUUCUCUCUAGGAACAUAUCUAAACAGUAGAACUAAAGUGCGAGCUAUGACAUAAUUUGCAAAAUCCUUUUGACUAUGUUGAGGAUAAACAAGUUGAUCUUAUGAACUUCCACUCAGAUAGAUAUCCCUCUAGUCAUCUAAGUGAUUACAUGAUCCGAGUCAACUAGGCCGUGUCCGAUCAUCACGUGAGACGGACUAGUCAUCAUCGGUGAACAUCUUCAUGUUGAUCGUAUCUACCAUACGACUCAUGCUCGACCUUUCGGUCUCUUGUGUUCCGAGGCCAUGUCUGUACAUGCUAGGCUCGUCAAGUCAACCUAAGUGUUUCGGGUGUGUAAAUCUGUCUUACACCCGUUGUAUGUGAACGUUAGAAUCUAUCACACCCGAUCAUCACGUGGUGCUUCGAAACGACGAACUUUCGCAACGGUGCACAGUUAGGGGGAACACUUUCUUGAAAUUUUAAUGAGGGAUCAUCUUAUUUACUACCGUCGUUCUAAGCAAAUAAGAUGUAUAAACAUGAUAAACAUCACUUGCAAUCAAAUAGUGACAUGAUAUGGCCAAUAUCAUAGUGCUCCUUUUGAUCUCCAUCUUCGGGGCUCCAUGAUCAUCAUCACCGGCAUGACACCAUGAUCUCCAUCAUCAUGAUCUCCAUCAUCGUGUCUUCAUGAUGUUGUCUCGCCAACUAUUACUUCUACUACUACAGCUAACGGUUAGCAAUAAAGUAAAGUAAUUACAUGGCGUUGUUUAAUGACAAGCAGGUCAUAUAAUAAAUUAAGAAACUCCUAUGGCUCCUGCCGGUUGUCAUACUCAUCGACAUGCAAGUCGUGAUUCCUAUUACAAGAACAUGAUCAAUCUCAUACAUCACAUAUCAUUCAUCACAUUCUUCUUGGCCAUAUCACAUCACAUAGCAUACCCUGCAAAAACAAGUUAGACGUCCUCUAAUUGUUGUUUGCAUGUUUUACAUGGCUGCUAUGGGUUUCUAGCAAGAACGUUUCUUACCUAGGCAAAACCACAACGUGAUAUGCCAAUUGCUAUUUACCCUUCAUAAGGACCCUUUUCAUCGAAUCCGAUCCGACUAAAGUGGGAGAGACAAACACCCGCCAGCCACCUUAUGCAACUAGUGCAUGUUUGUCGGUGGAACCGGUCUCACGUAAGCGUACGUGUAAGGUUGGUCUGGGCCGCUUCAUCCCACAAUGCCGCCGAAUCAAGAUUGGACUAGUAACGGUAAGCAUAUUGAACAAAAUCAACGCCCACAACUACUUUGUGUUCUACUCGUGCAUAGAAUCUACGCAAUAGACCUAGCUCAUGAUGCCACUGUUGGGUAACGUAGCAGAAAUUCAAAAUUUUCCUACGUGUCACCAAGAUCUAUCUAUGGAGAAACCAGCAACGAGGGGAAGGAGGGUGCAUCUACAUACCCUUGUAGAUCGCUAAGCGGAAGCGUUCAAGAGAACGGGGUUGAAGGAGUCGUACUCGUCGUGAUCCAAAUCACCGAUGAUCCUAGUGCCGAACGGACGGCACCUCCGCGUUCAACACACGUACAGCCCGGUGACGUAUCCCACGCCUUGAUCCAGCAAGGAGAGAGGGAGAGGUUGAGGAAGACUCCAUUCAGCAGCAGCACAACGGCGUGAUGGUGGUGGAGGAGCGUGGCAAUCCUGCAGGGCUUCGCCAAGCACCACGGGAGAGGAGGAAGGAGAGAUGCAGGGCUGCGUCAUAUAGAGGAGAGGAACUCGCGUCUUAUGAGCAGCCCAAACCUCAACUAUAUAUAGGGGAAGGGGAGGGGCUGCGCCCCCUUUAGGGUUUCCACCCCUAGGGGUGGCGGCCAGCCUAGAUCCCAUCUAAGGGAGGCAGCCAAGGGGGAGGGGGAGAGGGAGGCGCACCAGGAUGGGCCUUAGGGCCCAUCUGCCCUAGGGUUUGCCCCCUUCUCCUCUCCCUUGCGCCUUGGGCCCUUGUGGGGGGGGGGGGAGCACCAGCCCACCUGGGGCUGGUCCCCUUCCACACUUGGCCCAUGAAGCCCUCCGGGGCUGGUGGCCCCACUUGGUGGACCCCCGGGACCCUCCCGGUGGUCCCGGUACGUUACCGAUAAACCCCGAAACUUUUCCGGUGACCAAAAUAGGACUUCCCAUAUAUAAAUCUUUACCUCCGGACCAUUCCGGAACUCCUCGUGACGUCCGGGAUCUCACCCGGGACUCCGAACAACAUUCGGUAACCACAUACAAACUUCCUUUAUAACCCUAGAGUCAUCGAACCUUAAGUGUGUAGACCCUAUGGGUUCGGGAGACAUGCAGACAUGACCGAGACGUUCUCCGGUCAAUAACCAACAGCGGGAUCUGGAUACCCAUGUUGGCUCCCACAUGUUCCACGAUGAUCUCAUCGGAUGAACCACGAUGUCAAGGACUUAAUCUAUCCCGUAUACAAUUCCCUUUGUCUAUCGGUACGAUACUCGCCCGAGAUUCGAUCGUCGGUAUCCCGAUACCUUGUUCAAUCUCAUUACCGGCAAGUCUCUUUACUCGUUCCGUAACACAUCAUCCCGUGAUAAACUCCUUGAUCACAUUGUGCACAUUAUGAUGAUGUCCUACCGAGUGGGCCCAGAGAUACCUCUCCGUCACACGGAGUGACAAAUCCCAGUCUCGAUUCGUGCCAACCCAACAGACACUUUCGAAGAUACCCGUAGUGUACCUUUAUAGCCACCCAGUUACGUUGUGACGUUUGGCACACCCAAAGCACUCCUACGGUAACCGGGAGUUGCACAAUCUCAUGGUCUAAGGAAAUGAUACUUGACAUUAGAAAAGCUUUAGCAUACGAACUACACGAUCUAGUGCUAUGCUUAGGAUUGCGUCUUUUCCAUCACAUCAUUCUCCUAAUGAUGUGAUCCCGUUAUCAACGACAUCCAAUGUCCAUGGUCAGGAAACCGUAACCAUCUAUUGAUCAACGAGCUAGUCAACUAGAGGCUUACUAGGGACAUGGUGUUGUCUAUGUAUCCACACAUGUAUCUGAGUUUCCUAUCAAUACAAUUCUAGCAUGGAUAAUAAACGAUUAUCAUGAACAAGGAAAUAUAAUAAUAAUCAAUUUAUUAUUGCCUCUAGGGCAUAUUUCCAACAGUCAGAUUGUUCGGUGUUGGGCAGUGCGGUUGAGUCCGGGCUGUUAUUGCCGGGUUCCCCUUCCCAUACUACGGACGGCUUGAAUAGCCUUUCCAAGAAGAUGUUGGGAGGGACUGCAUCGCGUUUUGCGCCGAUGCGUGCCAGGACAUCCGCCGCCUGAUUAUUUUCCCGGGCUAUAUGGUGAAAUUCGAGCCCUUCGAACCGAGCUGACAUUUUUAAGACGACGUUGCGAUAAGCUGCCAUUUUUGGAUCCUUGGCAUCGAAGUCUCUGUUUAUUUGGGAUAUUGCAAGGUUCGAAUCCCCUCGCACUUCUAGGCGUUGAAUACCCAUGGAUACUGCCAUCUAGAGACCAUGUAAGAGGGCCUCGUAUUCGGCUGCAUUGUUGGAGUCUGUGUACAUAAUCUGGAGUACAUAUUGAACUAUGUCUCCUGUGGGGGACGUCAAAACGACGCCAGCCCCCAGACCGGCCAACAUUUUGGAGCCGUAGAAAUGCAUGAUCCAGUUUUAAUAUGUGCCGUACUCUUUAGGGAGUUCAGCCUCCGUCCAUUCUGUGACGAAGUCAGCCAAAACUUGCGACUUGAUAGCUCGCCGUGGCUUAUAAGUUAUGUCGAACGAGAGGAGCUCGAUGGCCCAUUUCGCAAUCCGGCCCGUUGCGUCGCGGUUGUUUAUAAUAUCGUUUAGUGGUACUUCUGAGGCUACUGUUAUUGAACACUCUUGAAAGUAGUGUCGCAGCUUCCGGGAUGCCAUGAAUACCGCGUACGCAAUCUUUUGAUAAUGCGGGUACCUUGAUUUGCACGGAGUGAGGACAGUGGCCACAUAAUAGACCGGCUUCUGAAGGGGGAAUUUGUGUCCGUCCGUUUCUCGUUCGACGACGAGCACUGCGCUCACAACCUGAUGGGUUGCUGCAAUGUAUAAUAGCAUUGGUUCGCCAAUGUUUGGCGCGGCCAGGACUGGGUUUGUUGCCAAUAUGGCUUUUAUUUUGUCGAGUCCGGCCGUGGCUGCGUCCGUCCACUCGAAGUGUUCGGUGCGCCGAAGGAGGCGGUAAAGGGGGAGUGCCUUUUCUCCCAAGCGGGAGAUAAAGCGGCUUAGAGCCGCCACGCAUCCGGUUUACUUUUGUAUUUGUUUGAGGUCCUUUGGGAUAUCCAAUUGUGACAGAGCUCGGAUCUUGGCUGGAUUUGCUUCAAUUCCUCUACCGAAUACAAUGAAGCCCAAGAGCUUACCGGCUGGAACGCCGAAAACGCAUUUUUCCGGGUUGAGCUUGAUGUCGUAUGUUCGAAGGUUAUCAAAUGUGAGCCUCAAGUCGUCUACUAGGGAUUCAACAUGUCUUGUUUUUACGACCACAUCAUCUACGUAUGCCUCCACUGUUUUGCCGAUCUGGUUUGCCAGACAUGUCUGAAUCAUGCGCUGAUAUGUUGUUUUGAGCCCGAAGGGCAUUGUGUUGAAGCAGAAUGGGCCGUAUGGUGUGAUGAAUGCCGUUGCGGCUUGGUCUGAUUCUGCCAUCUUGAUUUGAUGGUAGCCGGAAUAUGCGUCGAGCAAGCACAACAAAUCGUGUCCUACAGUAGCGUUGAUAAUUUGAUCGAUGCGAGGGAGGGGGAAGGGAUCCUUUGGGCAAGCCUUAUUAAGGUCUUUAAAAUCAACGCACAGGCGCUAGGAUUUGUCCUUCUUUGGUACCAUCACCAGGUUUGCUAGCCAGUUCGGAUGUUUUAUAUCUCUGAUGGAUCCGGCCUCUAAUAGCUUGGCUAGCUCCUCUCCCAUGGCCUGUCUCUUAGGUUCGGAAAAACGCCGAAGAGCCUGUUUGACAGGUUUGAAUCCUUUAGGAUAUUUAAGCUGUGUUCGGCCAGCCUGCGUGGGAUUCCUGGCAUGUCUGAAGGGUGCCAGGCGAAAAUGUCCCAGUUCUCACGUAGGAACUCUCGUAGUGCGGCGUCUACAUCAGGGUUUAAUUGUGCACCGAUGGAAGCUGUUUUAUUGGGGUCCGUUGGAUGGACCUGGAAUUUGACUAUUUCGUCCGCUGGUUUAAAUGAGGUGGACUUGGAUAUUUUGUCGAGUAUCACAUCAUCCCUGUUCACCGUGGAGCGCAGCGCAGUCAGCUCCUCAGCCGCUAGGGCUUCGGAUAGUGCCUCAAGGGCCAGUGCGACUGUCUUAUUUUAGGCGCGGAGUGCUAUGUCCAGAUCACUAGCGAGAGUGAUGAUUCCGUUCGGCCCGGGCAUCUUGAGUUUCAUGUACCCAUAAUGGGGUAUUGCUUGGAAGAUUGUGAACGCUUCCCGCCCUAGCAGAGCAUGGUAUCCGCUACUGAACGGGACCACUUGGAACGUGACCUCCUUGGACCUGUAAUUAUCCGGCGUGCCGAACACCACAUCUAGUGUGAUUUUUCCUGUACAGCACGCUUCCUGACUGGGGAUUAUUCCUCUAAAGGUUGUGCUGCUUCGCUCAAUGCGGUUCCAGUCUAUUUCCAUUUUUUGAAGGGUUUCCUCAUAAAUGAGGUUCAAUCCGCUGCCUCCAUCCAUGAGUACCUUGGUAAGGCGAAAGCCGUCCACUAUUGGACUGAGGACCAAUGUGGCUGGUGCUCGGGCUGUUCGGAAUUUAGGUUCAUCACUGGCAUUAAAAGUAAUAGCCGUGUCACUCCAUGGGUUUAUUGUUGCUACUUGGUAGACUUCGGCAAGGCUGCGGAGUGUUCUUUUUCGCAUAUUAUUUGAUGCGGAAGUCUCGAAGACUGUUAAUACCGUACCGGUAUCCCUGGGGUGGCUUUCUAUGGCCUCCGGAAUUAGGAGAUCUUUGCCAAUUUUGGCCACCUGCCGGAGUAUCCAACAUGCUCUAAGGCUGUGAGUUGGUGUGGCGCCCUCUGUACUGUGAAUUUUACAGGGUCGAUUAAGCCAUCCUUCCAAUACGCUUCCAUGCCCUGUAGAGGAUUUUUGCUUUUUGGUGUUUAACCCGGGUGUCUGGCGAAGAUGCACCCUUUUAUUUUGGACUGGGUUUGUAUUCAGGGCCGGAUUGUCCCAAAAUUUUAUUUUGGUUUUCCAGUCGCUAUCCAUCGCAUAGUACUUUCGUACUAUGGACGCCAAGUCAGCGAAGCAUGUAAUAUCACGGCGACUUAUGGCGUUGAGGAUUCCCUUGUCCGUGCAAUUAUUGCAGAAGAAUGAGAUUGCGUCUUCCUCGCGGCAGUCCUUGAUCCUGUUCAUAGCCAGGAGGAAUCUGGCCCAGUAAUGAUGUACUGUUUCUUCGGGCUUUUGCCUAAUUUGGGAUAGAUCGCUUAUGUUCGGGUGGGUGGGUGGAAUUAAAUCCGAAAACUGACCCGAUAUGAGACUCAGAGGCCAAGGAGUUUCCGAACUCGGAAGUUUGGAUUCUUGGAUGUUGUCCAAUGAGUCUAGCCCGUCGCCUGACUCUAAGUUCAGGUCUUGAGUGAUGUCCUCCCUUCCGCGGGUAUCCGGCUUGGAGGGAUCGGGAAUCCAGACGUAACUAGUCCUUAAGAUAGAUGAAGGGUCGCCGCACUGUCCCUCUACCAUAGCAAUGUGAUGGGUGACCUGGGGAGAGUUAAUCUCUCUUAGAUCGGGUUUAGGCCCAAUCUGGUCAUAAUCCGUGGCGACUCCCAGGGCGGCGAUGCGAUCCAAGAGCUCGUUUAUGGAAGAGAGCUCCAUUGGAUCUAACUGCUCGGCGAGUUCCGAGCUGACAUGAAUACUGCUUUUGAUGACCCGAGAGGUCAUCGUCGGCGCAGCAGCCGAACAGGCGGUCAUAAGAAAACCGCCUAGCCGGAGAGUUUGGCCGACAGCCAAAGCUCCCUUAGCAACGGUUCCGUCUUUAAAGACGGGAUGAGGCAUCCUUCCUGAUGGCGACGGCACAGAGGAACUCUCAAUGAAAGCACCAAUGUCGGUGUCAAAACCGGCGGAUCUCGGGUAGGGGGUCCCGAACUGUGCGUCUAGGCGGAUGGUAACAGGAGACAAGGGACACGAUGUUUACCCAGGUUCGGGCCCUCUCGAUGGAGGUAAAACCCUACUCCUGCUUGAUUAAUAUUGAUGAUAUGGGUAGUACAAGAGUAGAUCUACCACGAGAUCAAGGAGGCUAAACCCUAGAAGCUAGCCUAUGGUAUGAUUGUUGUUGUCCUACGGACUAAAACCCUUCGGUUUAUAUAGACACCAGAGAGGGUUAGGGUUACACAGAGUCGGUUACAAUGGUAGGAGAUCUACAUAUCCGUACCACCAAGCUUGCCUUCCACGCCAAGGAAAGUCCCUUCCGGACAUGGGACGAAGUCUUCAAUCUUGUAUCUUCAUAGUCCGGGAGUCCGGCUGAAGGUAUAGUCCGGCUAUCCAGACACCCCCUAAUCCAGGACUCCCUCACCCAGGUUUUCAGCCAAGAUUAUAACUAACCAUGUCGACAAUAACUCUUAAACAUUAUAUUAACUCUUAUGAGUAGAGGCCGCGGGAAAAAGCCUAGUAGUAGCGCGGAUAAAAGACUAGUAGUAGUGCGGGUGCCCGUGCUACUACUACGGCGCUACAGCUAACUCGUAGUAGUAGCGCAGGUGCCACCCGCGCUACUAGUACGUGUGUUAGUAAUAGCGCGGAUUCUACACACGCUACUAUUAACUAUCUGUAGCGCCUGUCUGUGACCCGCGCUACUACUAUUAAUUUCAAAAACCAAAAAAAAAAUCUCGACCCCGUGCAUGUUGUCAAUGGUGUCAUUGAUUCGAUCCAGCGACAACAAGGGUUGCCGGAGGUGUGGACGGGUAGUGGCAGACCAGAUCCGGCGAUGGCUGUUGGAGAUGGCCGGAUCCAGUGUAGAGCAAGACGACGGUGUGAGGAUCCUCUUCGCGGUCAAGGCGGAGAACUCCUGGUUGGCCAUGUCGACGACCUGUGCAGGCAUGGGCAUGGGAGGUGAGUAAAACCAAAGGGAGAGGGAGAGGAGAGGGAGAGGGAAAAAGAGAAACAAGGGAGAAAGGAGGGAGAUGGAGGGUGUAUCGGGGCUGCAUGGAGGCGAGGAGGAAGACGGGCGAGCUCUUGGAUGCCAGCGAUGCGAGGAGGAAGACGUUGGGUGCCAUGGAGGAGGAGAUAUUCUUGGGCAGGAGCACCAUGGAGAGAGGGGGAAAGUGAGGGAGAGAGGAGGAAAGUGAGAGAGGGGGAAAGUGAGGGAGAGAGGAGGGAUUCGGCCGAGGAUAUGGAGAUUUCACCUACCUCGUACUUAGUAGUAGCGAGGGGUAUAAAACCGCGCUACUACUAUCAACAUAGUAGUAGCAUGGGUUUGUACCCCUCGCUACUACUAUGGCAUGUCCCGGGAGGGCACGGUAGACACCGCUUAGUAGUAGCGAGGGUGAAAAACCCGCGCUAAUAGUAUCAACUUAGUAGUAGCGAGGGGUAAAAACCCGUGCUACUAGUAAGUAGCAGUAGCGACGGUUAUAAACCCGUGCUACUAGUAAGCGUCUGCCUAUAAGCUUUUCCCUAGUAGUGGCAUAUCUAUGACAUAAUCAACUAGCGAGCAAUAAUAAGAUAUCUCAAACAACAACACGUUGUGAAAACAACCAUGAUAUAAUAUGACAAUAGUGGUAUCUCGCUAGCCCUUUCUAAGACCGCAAAACAUAAAUGUAGAGCACCUCCAAAGUUCAAGCAGCGACCAAACAUUGUAAUUCAUGGUAGAAAAGAUCUAGUCAUGAUGCACCCAACAUUAGCAACACAUAGUGCAUCAGCAUGUCAACAGUGCUCUCUGGAUUUGGCACUUAUUUUAGAAGGUGAUGACACAACAUAAAAGUAAAUAGAUAGUCCCUUCGCAGAGGGAAGCAGUGAUUUGCAGCGGUGCCAGAGCUCAAAAUUUAAAAAUAGAGGUAAAUGAAAUUUUGGGAAAUUGAUACGUCUCCAACGUAUCUAUAAUUUUUUAUUGUUCCAUGCUAUAUUAUAUUAUGUUUUGGAUGUUUAAUGGGCUUAUUUAUACACUUUUAUAUUAUUUUUGGGACUAACCUAUUAACCGGAGGCCCAGCCCAUAUUGUUGUUUUUGUUCCUAUUUCAGUGUUUCGCAAAAAAAAGAAUAUCAAACGGAAUGAAACCUUCGGGAACAUGAUUUUUAAAACAAACGUGAUUCAGAGGACUUGGAGUCCAUGUCAAGCAGUCAAUGAGGAGGGCACGAGGCAGGGGGCGCUCCUACCUCCCCCUAGGCGCGCCCUCCACCCUCAUGGGGCCCACGUUGCUCCACCGACGUACUUCUUCCUCCUAUAAUACCUACGUACCCCCAAACCAUCAGGGGCAUCCACGAAAACCUAAUUCCACCGCCGCAACCUUCUGUACACGUGAGAUCCCAUCUUGGGGCCUUUUCCGGCGUCCUGCCGAAGGGGGCAUUGAUCACGGAGGGCUUCUACAUCAACACCAUAGCCACUCCGAUGAUGUGUGAGUAGUUUACCUCAGACUUUCGGGUCCAUAGUUAUUAGCUAGAUGGCUUCUUCUCUCUCUUUGGAUCUCAAUACAAAGUUCUCCACGAUUCUCGUGGAGAUCUAUUCGAUGUAAUCUUCUUUUGCGGUGUGUUUGUUGGGACCGAUGAAUUGUGGAUUUAUGAUCAAGUUUAUCUAUGAACAAUAUUUGAAUAUCCUCUGAAUUCUUUUAUGUAUGAUUGGUUAUCUUUGCAAGUCUCUUCGAAUUAUCAGUUUGGUUUGGCCUACUAGAUUGAUCUUUCUUGCAAUGGGAGAAGUGCCUAGCUUUGGGUUCAAUCUUAUGGUGUCGUUUCCCAGUGACAGCAGGGGCAGCAAGGCACGUAUUGUAUUGUUGCCAUCGAGGAUAACAAGAUGGGGUUUAUAUCAUAUUGCAUGAGUUUAUCUCUCUACAUCAUGUCAUCUUGCUUAAAGCGUUACUCUGUUCUUAUGAACUUAAUACUCUAGAUGCAUGCUGGGUAGCGAUCGAUGUGUGGAGUAAUAGUAGUAGAUGCAGGCAGGAGUCGGUCUACUUGUCACGGACAUGAUGCAUAUAUACAUGAUCAUACCUAGAUAUUCUCAUAACUAUGCUCAAUUCUAUCAAUUGCUCGACAGUAAUUUUUUCACCCACCGUAAUACUUAUGCUUUUGAGAGAAGCCACUAAUGAAACAUAUGGCCCCCGGGUCUAUUUUCCAUCAUAUUAAUCUUCCAACACAUAGCCUUUUCUAUUGCCCUUUUAUUUUACUUUGCAUCUCUAUUUCUCUUUAUCAUAGAAAUACUAAAAAUAUUAUCUUAUCAUAUCUAUCAGAUCUCACUCUCGUUAGUGACCGUGAAGGGAUUGACAACCCCUUUAUCGCGUUGGUUGCGAGGUUCUUAUUUGUUUUGUGUAGGUGCGUGGGACUUGAGCGUGGCCUCCUACUGGAUUGAUACCUUUGUUCUCAAAACUGAGGGAAAUACUUACACUACUUUGCUGCAUCACCUUUUCCUCUUCAAGGGAAAAACCAACGCAGUGCUCAAGAGGUAGCAAGAAAGAUUUCUGGCGCCGUUGCCGGGAGUUUACGCAAAAGUCAACAUACCAAGUACCCAUCACAAACUCUUAUCCCUUGCAUUACAUUAUUUGCCAUUUGCCUCUCGUUUUCCUCUCCCUCACUUCACCCUUGCCGUUUUGUUCGCCCUCUCUUCCGCUCACCUUUCCUUCGCCAUGUCGGAACCAAAAAGAGUUGGGGGUUCUCUCCCGAGUUUUAGUACUUUGGACGAUCCUUCUAUUCUAUCUAAACUCAUAAAUAAUGUCAUGGUAAAACCUGCCGGAGUUGUCAAUGAGAGUCUUAAUAAUUUUGAUGAAGAUGAUUCCGGAAUUUUUCGUUAUUUACUCGAUGAAUCUUUGAAAGAUGCUUGGGAUAGACUGUUAAGGAUCCGGGCUAACUAUGUGCCCCAAUACCAAAUUGAAGUUUACUUGAAGAGCUUUUAUGUUGCCCUACCUUCUUCGUUUAAGCAUGUCUUAGAUUCUAUAUUUGAAGAAGACUUUCUUGAAGGGGAUGCCGUAGAUACUUAUGAAAAGAUGAAAACCAUAUUUGGGCACCCCAUGAAUGAGAAAAUUAAAUCUACAUCUCUUUUGCUCUCCAGUCCUUGGUUCAUGUAAAUCUGAAUCUAGCCGGCACUACCCCUUCACAAGCUGUUGCAUAGUCUUCAGCGAGGUGCGGCGCAACUUCCGUGUGAGGGGAAAUGAACUUCUCCACGAAUACCUUCUCUCUCACCUUGAAAGCGGUAUAGUAGUAGCCUGGGUUGCACUUGAGCAAUCCAUUUUCCAUGAGAAACUUUACAACGUAGUACCUGGGUUUCAUCCAGCCCUCCAGCUGUAAUUGAUAAUUACUGACCGUUGAGCAAUGUAGGUAGGUUCCAACCCCACCUCAGAGAUGAGGAAAUCAGACCUGCGCUGCAGUAAUUCCUUUGACUUCCUCAGCAGACACGGAGCGUUACGCACAACAAUGCUCACCUCAGCGUCUGACCACCUGAACAUCUUCUUCAAGUAGGCCACAUUGGCGGCGAUCUUCUCCUCGCUGAGGAAUCUGACAGCAUCCAACGUGUGUCUGAACAUCCUGAGCCACGAGGCAUGCCAAGGCCUUCGGCGCAUGCCACCAUCGCCCUGACGCGUUCUGGCUUGUUGCUCAGGACACCCCGCGCGCGGAGGGACAAUUUGGUGAUAUCGCAAUCAUCUAGCCCGCAUUGCCGUAGGAGCGCGACGUUGGGUUUGACCAUCCCGUCGAUGUCAGCGCCGGCGAGGUAGCCUUGCUUGAGCACCCGGAAGAGGUUCUCCGAGGAGCUGAAUAGGAGCAGGUAGUACCGCAACUUGGAAACAAUGGACCUGGAACAGAAGUGGGCGAAGGAGAGCGCGACGAGGCGCACGAUCUCAGUACGCGAGAGGCCGAGGCCGGUGAGCCCACGACGACGGGGGCUAGAGUUUUCUCUACUUUGGCGCAGAGGAACAACGGGUCUUUGGCGACGAGGGCGGCGACGUCGGUGCCGGAGAGGCCGAGGCCGGCGAGGAAGGAAAGGACGGCGUCGGGCUUGGACGGAGACUUGAGGUGGGAGAGCUUGGCGGAGGCCUUGAGUGCCUGGGGUCGGGUGAGGCCGCAGGUGGAGACGAGGUAGUCGUCGACGACGAAGCUAGGGUUUGGGGAAACGCCGGGCGCGGCGGCCGCGGAGAGGGGGCGGUGGAGAGGGGGGCCUGAGAGGUGGCGGGGGAAGAGAGGAGCCGCACGAGGAUGCAGCCACGGAGGCGGAGCAUGGCGGCGGUGGCGGCGGAGAGAUUGAUUCCCUAUGGAGGCGGGUGCGAAUGGGAUGGUGCUUCGGAGGCGGGGAUGCGGCGCCCUGGCGAGGCAGGUGAGGAACGGAGGAAGAGAACAGGAGGAGAGAUCGAAGAGGAUGGCACUUCGGCGGCGCCGCCGAAGAGAUUUUCCGGUCCGCUGUGAGUGGAGAGGAAAAAUGGGAAAUGGCAGGUGCGAUGCGAAUGGAGGCUCCGCAAAUUGCAAUAUCACUGAAUCCCAGGGGUCUUUACGUCUUUCAAAAAUACAAACUACAUUUAAAAAACAUACAUAAUACAUUGAGCCUCAUGGAAACUUUCAUAUACACAUGGAAAAUAGAUAUCCCCUCCGUUCAAUAACGUAGUGCGUAUAGAUUUUCGAAAGUCAGACUUUGCAAAAUAUGAUCAAAUUUAUAAAGAAAACUACUUAUACCUACAUUAUCAAAUAUAUAAAAUAUGAACCUACGUCUUGUCUUAUGAUGAACCUAAUGAUAUAUGUUUGACAUCUAGAUGUAAAUGUUUUUCUUCACAAACUUGGUCAAAUUUUGUUAGGUUUGACUUUUCAAAAAAUCUGUAUGCAAUCAUUAUGCAAUCGGUAUAAUAAGGAAAAUGGCUUUGAGAGAUAAGAUUAUAUCACAAAAUAAGUUAUUAUACGACUUGUACUUAUCUUGUGAUUUUUUUGUAGGUAUAGUACUUCCUCCAUUUUUAUUUACUCUGCAUAUUAGAGUUGACUGAAGUCGAACUUCGUAAAGUUUGACCAAGUUUAUAAAAAAUAUAUAAAUAUUUACCCUAACAAAUCUAUAUGAUACGAAAGUACGUUCAAUAAUGAAUAUAAUGGUAUUGAUUUGUUAUUGUACAAGUUAAUAUUUUUGACUAUAAACUUUGUCAAAAUUUAUAAAGCUUGACUUUGACUAAAACUAAUAUGGAGAGUAAAUAAAAACGAAGGGAGUAAAUGGCUAUGCUUUUUUUAUAGGUAGUAAAUGGUUACUUUUUUCCGAUUUUUUUAAAUGGUUAUGCUUGCUAAUCAAUCCAAUCCAAAUUAUAUGUCGCUCAAACAGAUGUAUCUAAUUAAUAUGGAUUGGAUGGAGCAGAAAAGUUCAUACGGAUAUAUAUUUUCUCAAAACUUGAAAGUAUGAUUUCUACAAGUAAAAAAAAUCAUAUGUGAACUAUGUUUGUUUUUAGCAUUUUGUGUGUGUUCAUGUUUUUCUCUCUCUCUCUCUCUCUCUCUCUUCAUUCUAGCCUCUUUUCCCCCACCUCACUCUGUUCUCACAUUGACAUUGUUGCCUUUUUCAACGGACUCCUACUUAUCUUUUCUAAAUUUUGCAAGGUGAGAAUUGAGAAGGUUAUUAUUCUUUAGUUUUAUGUGUAUAGCUAUAUUAGAGUUGAGAUCAAUUGCAUCGUGUCCACAAAUCCUCUAUAACACUAAGCUCCCUAGUUUUAAAAAGCCCACACUCAAUUAAGGUCUCUAAUUAGAAUUGGAUCAUCCAAUUUUGAUCGGGUCUACAAUUUCUCAAAGCUUCACAAUCCAAUUCUUUUAUACUAUACAAUAUGCUUCCUAAUUUUUAAGGCCUCAUAAUUAUUAAGGUAUUUAAUAUAGGUUGAUCAUCCAAUUUUGACUGGGUCAACAAUUUCUCAACCUCUUCAAUUGAAUUUUUUUAAUUCACUAUGUUCCAAAAUUUUGAAUCUCUUUCAUUCAAUUGAGGUAUUCAAUUUUGAUUUGGUUGACGAUUUUGACUGGGCCAAUGAUUUUCAAAUCAAUCAGCUGCAACUGACCUAUAAAAACAUAUCAAUCCCAUGCACCCCUCCCACCACAUAGAAAAAAGAAGCGUCACCAUAUGAUAUUGUAGUAUCAAUAUAGUACAUGCAACCACCGAUGCAGAAAUUUUCCCACAUAAAUAUAGGUUGGUUAGCGGAUGACACAGUCAUCUCCCCACCCGCCUAACUUAAUAUUCCAUCAGUUACUCCCUCCGUUCCACAAUGUAGCGCAUAUAAAUUUUUCUAGAAGUCAAACUUUAUAAACUUUGACCAAGUUUGUAGAGAAAAUCAUAUACAUCUAGAAUACCAAAUACGUGUGCUUAGAUACAUCACAACACAUACUUUCAUAUUAUAUACAUUUGGUAUUGUAGAUAUAAAUAGUUUUCUCUAUAAAAUUGGUCAAAGUUUAUAAAGUUUGACUUUGUAGAAAAUCUAUAUGCGCUACAUUAUGGAACGGAGGGAGUAUAAAAUAUGAAGGGUAUUAAUUUUGUAGAAAGUCAAACUUCUUUAACUUUGACCAACUUCAGAGCAAAAAUAUCAACAUCCACAAUAUUAAACAAAAAAAGUAUGGAAAUUCAUUUCGUGAUGAAUCUAAAAAUACUGAUUUAAUCUUAUGAAUUUUGAUAUAUUUCUCUACAAAUUUGAUGAAACUUAAAAGGUUUGAUUUUAAAAAAUAUAAUACACAUUAUAUUGGGAAACAGAGUGAUUAGUUUUUUAAGAUAUCCAACAACAUGAACGGCGCAGCAAAGCGCGCACAACCCUUCUAGUUAGUAGUAUAUCUAAGAACAAUUGGCAUCCCAUUGAUGAUCGAUCAACCUUCUUAGUCCAGCUAGUGGCUGGUCGUCUAGAGAUCUAUAUGGAGUCAGUUGAGAUGCGAUGGUCAGCCAAGUGGGUUGAUCAAUGCUCCUCUUAAAAUUCGAAGCCUAAAGUAGAUGUGCUACUCGAGAAAUAAAAAGACCAACGUAGACCGUACUAACAUCUAAUAUUUGACGUCACAUUUGAAUUUGAUACUAUUCACAUCCAUAAUUGUCCCUUUGCUCAUCGAAUUAUGAAUCUUAUAUAAAUGUUGUAAAUGAUCAAUUUUAUAAUAAUUUUAGGGUUGUAGUUCGGUGCAUAGGUAGCUCAGAGGAACCAUAGCCGUCACUUCCUCUCCAAAAAAGCUUAGGGUUCCUAUGCGGCCAUGCCUCCCGUGGCGCCGCUGCCGGUCCACCUCGUCUCCGGUGGCCCUAGGGCCAUGGGGACACGGUGGAUCUCAUCCCUUACCAGCGGGAGGGCUUCGUUUUUAAAUAUUUCUUUGAAUUUUGUUAGGGUUGUGUCCUGCUAAAGAGGAUAAGACAACGACGGCUUCGUGAAGAUUGAAUAAGGUUCUUCCCGCCUAGCCCCCGUCUCGAUGGCGCAUCUAACAUCGUCGGAGAGUGUGUGGAGGUGUGUCUCCGGCGGAUCUCACAGGAUUCGGUAGGUGGUUUGUCUUUGGUGGAUCUACUCGGACCCGGUCUUCGUUCGUCUACAUUUGUCUGUCAUUAGAUUGGAUCCUUCCGAUCUAUGGGUCUCAUCAUCGGCGGGGGUUACUAUUCUAUUGCGCUGGUCCUACGAGGCCUUAGCACGACAAGUUCCCGGCUGUCUACUACAAUAAGUUCUGCCCGGCUCCGGCGAGGGAAGGGCGAUGACAACGGCGCGUCUUCGGCUCGCUUUAAUGCUUGUAGUCUUUGCUAGAUGGUCUACGGAUGGAUGCGAUUUUUAUUAUUCCUAUUGUUCAUUGUAUUGUCAUGAUUGAAAAUAAAAAGAUCGAAAGAUUUCUCACAGAUAAGAAGCUCAGAAGAACCAUUAAAAGGACAAUCGUGUGGUCUCCCUAGAUGGUCCUUGGAGGGAGCGAUGUAAUUUCAUUUCCUUUUUAUUGCAUUCUCAUGAAUCUACGGGAUACACAGAUUUGGAAUAGCCAUGCGUUAUAUAGGUUUGGAAAAGAUGAAUGGGCAGGACAAAGCCCAUCAAGGUCCAGAGUUGAACAUGGUAUUUUUCUCUUCCCUGAUCUUGUGUGGUUGUUACAUUACAACGAGGACUAGAUGCAUUCAUUAACCUGAGGAGACUAUAUACGGUGAUUAUAUCGUGGUUAUCAUAUUUACCUAUUUUACAAAGAAUGAUCGGAUAUAAUUUACUGGUACAAUCCAUUGUGUGCCUUUCACGCUUCCGUCAGUUUAGUUUCCUCACACUUUAAGUAGUCUUGUGAAGUUGUGAUCAGGUAGCUCGCAAUCCAAAUUUCUGUAAUGAAUAUUUUUUUUUGGUCCAACGAGUAAAACGUAGACUUGGUGACCCUCAAAAGGGAUGAUAUUUUACAUAACGAGUAAAUCAUGAUGUCCUUAGAUAUUUCUUAUGAGUAUUUCUUCUUUUCUGCGGAAAAGUUUCUUGUCUUCCGAACUCUUGGAUGUGGGCAGAACUCUUGAUGAGCCGAGGCACCCGCAGCAUGCCAUUGUGAGUCAAGUUUGCCAUUGUUUGAUGGGAAGUUUUCAAGUGCUACAUGUAGAAGGACGCUAUAGUGGCUGCAAUCUUGCUGCUAAGUGACACGUACUGUCACCCUGUUUCUAAUGAAAAAAACUGAAGAACAAUGACUCAUUUAAACAUUGUUCAAUUUUGUGGUUCAUGAUGUUGGAAAUAUGCCCUAGAGGCAAUAAUAAAAGUAUUAUUAUAUUUCAAUGUUCAUGAUAAAUGUCUUUUAUUCAUGCUAUAACUGUAUUAUCCGGAAAUCGUAAUACACGUGUGAAUACUUAGACCACAAUAUGUCCCUGGUGAGCCUCUAGUUGACUAGCUCGUUGUGAUCAACAGAUAGUCAUGGUUUCUUGACUAUGGACAUUGGAUGUCGUUGAUAACGGGAUCACAUCAUUAGGAGAAUGAUGUGAUGGACAAGACCCAAUCCUAAGCAUAGCAUAAAAGAUCGUGUAGUUCGUUUUGCUAGAGCUUUGCCAAUGUCAAGUAUCUCUUCCUUCGACCAUGAGAUCGUGUAACUCCCGGAUACCGUAAGAGUGCCUUGGGUGUAUCAAACGUCACAACGUAACUGGGUGACUAUAAAGGUGCAUUACAGGUAUCUCCGAAAGUAUCUGUUGGGUUGACACGGAUCGAGACUGGGAUUUGUCACUCCGUAUGACGGAGAGGUAUCUCUGGGCCCACUCGGUAAUGCAUCAUCAUAAUGAGCUCAAUGUGACCAAGGUGUUGGACACGGGAUCAUGCAUUACGGUACGAGUAAAGUGACUUGCCGGUAACGAGACUGAACAAGGUAUUGGGAUACCGACGAUCGAGUCUCGGGCAAGUAACGUACUGAUUGACAAAGGGAAUUGUAUACAGGGUUUGAUUGAAUCCUUGACAUCGUGGUUCAUCCGAUGACAACAUCGAGGAGCAUGUGGGAGCCAUCAUGGGUAUCCAGAUCCCGCUGUUGGUUAUUGACCUGAGAGCAUCUCGGUCAUGUCUGCAUGUCUCCCGAACCCGUAGGGUCUACACACUUAAGGUUCGGUGACGCUAGGGUUAUUAGGAAGACUAGUAUGUGACUACCGAAUAUUGUUCGGAGUUCCGGAUGGGAUCCUGGACGUCACGAGGAGCUCCGGAAGGGUCCGAAGGUAAAGAUUUAUAUAUGGGAAGUUGUCAAACGGGCACCGGGAAGUUUCGGGGUCAUACCGGUAUUGUACCGGGGCCACCGGAAGGGUUCCGGGGGUCCACCGGGAGGGGCCACCCCUCCCGGGGGGGCACAUGGGCUGCGUGGGGCAGGGAGCCAGCCCCUGGUGGGCUGGGCGCACCCCCUCCCUUGGGCCCUUGCGCCUAGGGUUGAGGGGGGAACCCUAGAGGGGGCGCCCCCUUGGCUUGGGGGGCAAGCCACCCUCUCCCCCUCUCCCCUUGGCCGCCGCACCCCCCUAGAUGGGUUCUAGGGGGCCGGCCCCCUUCUCCCUUCCCCCAACAAAUAGAGGGGUGAGGGGAGGGCAGCCGCACCACCCUCCAAGGCGCAGCCCUCCCCUCCCCAACACCUCUCCUCCUCUGUUGUGUGCUUGGCGAAGCCCUGUCGGAGUACUGCCUCUCCACCAUCACCACGCCGUCGUGCUGCCGGUGGAGCUGUCUUCCUCAACCUCUCCUCCCCCCUUGCUGGAUCAAGAAGGAGGAGACGUCUCCCGUCCCGUACGUGUGUUGAACGCGGAGGUGCUGUCCGUUCAGCACUUGGUCAUCGGUGAUUCGAAUCACGUCGAGUACGAUUCCAUCAUCACCUUGCAAGCUUCCGCACGCGAUCUACAAGUGGUAUGUAGAUGCAAACUCACUCCCUUGACUCGUUGCUUAGAUGAACUCAUAGAUGGAUCUUGGUGAAACCGUAGGAAAAAUUUUAAUUUUCUGCAACGUUCCCCAACAGUGGCAUCAUGAGCCAGGUUUAUGCGUAGUUCUCUUUGCACGAGUAGAACACAAUUUUGUUGUGGGCGUGGAUUUUGUCAUCUUACUUGCCUCUACUAGUCUUUUCUUGCUCAACGGUAUUGUGGGAUGAAGCGGCCCGGACCAACCUUACACGUACGCUUACGUGAGACCGGUUCCACCGAGUGACAUGCACUAGUUGCAUAAGGUGGCUGGCGGGUGUCUGUCUCUCCCACUUUAGUUGGAGCGGAAUCGAUGAACAGGGCCCUUAUGAAGGGUAAAUAGAAGUUGACAAAAUCACGUUGUGGUGAUUCGUAGGUAAGAAAAUGUUCUUGCUAGAACCCAAUUGCAGCCACGUAAAAGAUGCAACAACAAUUAGAGGAUGUCUAACUUGUUUUUGCAGCGAUUGAUCAUGUGAUGUGAUAUGGCCAGAAGUUGUGAUGAAUGAUGAAUUGUGAUGUAUGAGAUCAUGUUCUUUGUAAUAGGAUUCACGACUUGCAUGUCGAUGAGUAUGACAACCGGCAGGAGCCAUAGGAGUUGUCUUUAUUUUUUGUAUGACCUGCAUGUCAUUGAAUAACGCCAUGUAAACUACUUUACUUUAUUGCUAAACGUUAGUCAUAGAAGUAGAAGUAGUCGUUGGCGUGACAACUUCAUGAAGACACGAUGAUGGAGAUCAUGAUGAUGGAGAUCAUGGUGUCAAGCCGGUGACAAGAUGAUCAUGGAGCCCCGAAGAUGAAGAUCAAUGGAGCUAUAUGAUAUUGGCCAUAUCAUGUCACAACUAUAUAAUUGCAUGUGAUGUUUAUUAUGUAUUAUGCAUCUUGUUUACUUAGGACGACGGUAGUAAAUAAGAUGAUCCCUUAUAAAAUUUCAAGAAGUGUUCUCCCCUAACUGUGCACCGUUGCUACAGUUCGUCGCUUCUAAGCAACACGUGAUGAUCGGGUGUGAUGGAUUCUUACGUUCACAUACAACGGGUGUAAGACAGUUUUACACAGCGAAAACACUUAGGGUUAACUUGACGAGCCUAGCAUGUGCAGACAUGGCCUCGGAACACGGAGACCGAAAGGUCGAACACGAAUCGUAUGGAAGAUACGAUCAACAUGAGAAUGUUCACCGACGAUGACUAGUCCGUCUCACGUGAUGAUCGGACACGGGCUAGUCGACUCGGAUCGUGUAACACUUAGAUGACUAGAGGGAUGUCUAAUCUAAGUGGGAGUUCAUAAUUUGAUUAGAACUUUAUUAUCAUGAACUUAGUCUAAAACCUUUGCAAAUAUGUCUUGUAGAUCAAUGGCCAACGCUAAUGUCAACAUGAACUUCAACGCGUUCCUAGAGAAAACCAAGCUGAAAGAUGAUGGCAGCAACUAUACGGACUGGGUCCGGAACCUGAGGAUCAUCCUCAUAGCUGCCAGGAAACAAUAUGUCCUAGAAGGACCGCUAGGUGACGCUCCCGUCGCAGAGAACCAAGACAUUAUGAAUGCUUGGCAGUCUCGUGCUGAUGAUUACUCCCUCGUUCAGUGCGGCAUGCUUUACAGCUUAGAACCGGGGCUCCAAAAGCGUUUUGAGCAUCACGGAGCAUAUGAGAUGUUCGAAGAGCUGAAACUAGUUUUCCAAGCUCAUGCCCGGGUCGAGAGAUAUGAUGUCUCCGACAAGUUCUACAGUUGUAAGAUGGAGGAAAAUAGUUCUGUCAGUGAGCACAUCCUGAAGAUGUCUGGGUUGCACAACCGUAUGACCCAGCUGAACAUUAACCUCCCAGAUGAGGCGGUCAUUGACAGAAUCCUCCAGUCGCUCCCACCAAGCUACAAGAGCUUUGUGAUGAACUACAACAUGCAGGGGAUGGAAAAGACCAUUCCUGAAGUGUUCUCGAUGCUGAAGUCAGCAGAGGCUGAAAUCAAGAAAGAACAUCAAGUGUUGAUGGUCAAUAAGACCACUAAGUUCAAGAAGGGCAAGGGUAAGAAGAACUUCAAGAAGGACGGCAAGGAGGUUGCCGCGCCUGGUAAGCCAGUUACCGGGAAGAAGUCAAAGAAUGGACCUAAGCCUGAGACUGAGUGUUUUUAUUGCAAGGGGAAGGGUCACUGGAAGCGGAACUGCCCCAAAUACUUAGCGGAUAAGAAGGCCGGCAACACCAAAGGUAUAUUUGAUAUACAUGUGAUUGAUGUGUACCUUACUAGUACUCGUAGUAACUCCUGGGUAUUUGAUACCAGUGCCGUUGCUCAUAUUUGUAACUCACAGCAGGAGCUGCGGAAUAAACGGAGACUGGCGAAGGACGAGGUGACGAUGCGCGUCGGGAAUGGUUCCAGAGUCGAUGUGAUCGCCGUCGGCACGCUGCCUCUACAUUUACCUACGGGAUUAGUUUUGAACCUGAAUAAUUGUUAUUUAGUGCCAAGUUUGAGCAUGAACAUUGUAUCUGGAUCUCGUUUAAUACGAGAUGGCUACUCAUUUAAGUCUGAGAAUAAUGGUUGUUCGAUUUAUAUGAGAGAUAUGUUUUAUGGUCAUGCUCCGAUGGUCAAUGGUUUAUUCUUAAUGAAUCUCGAGCGUAAUAUUACACAUGUUCAUAGUGUAGAUGCCAAAAGAUUUAAAGUUGAUAACGAUAGUCCCACAUACUUGUGGCACUGCCGCCUUAGUCACAUUGGUGUCAAGCGCAUGAAGAAGCUCCAUGCCGAUGGACUUUUAGAGUCUCUUGAUUAUGAAUCGUUUGACACGUGCGAACCAUGCCUCUUGGGCAAAAUGACCAAGACUCCGUUCUCCGGAACAAUGGAGCGAGCAACCAACUUGUUGGAAAUCAUACAUACCGAUGUGUGCGGUCCAAUGAGCGUUGAGGCUCGCGGAGGAUAUCGUUAUGUUCUCACUCUCACUGAUGACUUGAGUAGAUAUGGGUAUGUCUACUUAAUGAAACACAAGUCUGAGACCUUUGAAAAGUUCAAAGAAUUUCAGAAUGAGGUAGAGAAUCAACGUGACCGAAAGAUAAAAUUCUUACGAUCAGAUCGUGGAGGAGAAUACUUAAGUCACGAAUUUGGUACACACUUAAGGAAAUGUGGAAUCGUUUCACAACUCACGCCGCCUGGAACACCUCAGCGAAACGGUGUGUCCGAACGUCGUAAUCGCACUCUAUUGGAUAUGGUGCGGUCUAUGAUGUCUCUUACCGAUUUACCGCUAUCAUUUUGGGGAUACGCUCUAGAGACAGCUACAUUCACUUUAAAUAGGGCACCGUCUAAAUCCGUUGAGACGACACCGUAUGAAUUAUGGUUUGGAAAGAAACCUAAGAUGUCGUUUCUAAAAUUUUGGGGAUGCGAUGCUUAUGUCAAGAAACUUCAACCUGAAAAGCUCGAACCCAAGUCGGAAAAAUGCGUAUUCAUAGGAUACCCUAAGGAAACUGUCGGGUAUACCUUCUACUUAAGAUCCGAAGGCAAGAUCUUUGUUGCCAAGAACGGAUGCUUUCUGGAAAAAGAGUUUCUCUCGAAAGAAGUAAGUGGGAGGAAAGUAGAACUCGAUGAAGUACUACCUCUUGAGCGGGAAAGUGGCGCAGCGCAGGAAACCGUUUCUGUGAUGCCCACACCAACUGAAGAGGAAAACAAUGAUGAUGAUCAAGGUACUUCGGAUCAAGUUACUAUUGAACUUCGUAGGUCCACAAGGACACGUUCCGCACCAGAGUGGUACGGCAACCCUGUCCUGGAAAUCAUGUUGUUGGACAACAAUGAACCUUCGAACUAUGAAGAAGCGAUGGCGGGCCCGGAUUCCAACAAAUGGCUUGAAGCCAUGAAAUCCGAGAUAGAAUCCAUGUAUGAAAACAAAGUAUGGACUUUGACAGACUUGCCCGAUGAUCGGCGAGCGAUAGAAAACAAAUGGAUUUUUAAGAAGAAGACGGACGCGGAUGGUAAUGUUACAAUCUAUAAGGCUCGACUUGUCGCUAAGGGUUAUCGACAAGUUCAAGGGAUUGACUACGACGAGACUUUCUCUCCUGUAGCGAAGCUGAAGUCCGUUCGAAUCAUGCUAGCAAUUGCCGCAUACUAUGAUUAUGAGAUAUGGCAGAUGGACGUCAAAACAGCAUUCCUUAACGGGCAUCUUAAGGAAGAACUGUAUAUGAUGCAGCCGGAAGGUUUUGUCGAUCCUCGGAACGCUAACAAAGUAUGCAAGCUCCAGCGAUCCAUUUAUGGACUGGUGCAAGCAUCUCGGAGUUGGAACAUUCGCUUUGAUGAGAUGAUCAAAGCGUUUGGGUUUAUGCAGACUUAUGGAGAAGCCUGCGUUUACAAGAAAGUGAGUGGGAGCUCUGUAGCAUUUCUCAUAUUAUAUGUAGAUGACAUACUCUUGAUGGGAAACAAUAUAGAAUUUCUGGACAGCAUUAAGGCCUACUUGAAUAAGUGUUUUUCAAUGAAGGACCUUGGAGAAGCUGCUUAUAUAUUAGGCAUCAAGAUCUAUAGAGAUAGAUCGAGACGCCUCAUAGGUCUUUCACAAAGCACAUACCUUGAUAAGAUUUUGAAGAGGUUCAAAAUGGAUCAGUCCAAGAAGGGGUUCUUGCCUAUGUUACAAGGUGUGAGAUUGAGCUCGGCUCAGUCACCGACCACGGCAAAAGAUAAAGAAGAGAUGAGUGUCAUCCCCUAUGCUUCAGCCAUAGGAUCUAUUAUGUAUGCCAUGCUGUGUACCAGACCCGAUGUAAACCUUGCCGUAAGUUUGGUAGCAAGAUACCAAAGUAAUCCCGGCAAGGAACACUGGACAGCGGUCAAGAAUAUCCUGAAGUACCUGAAAAGGACGAAGGACAUGUUUCUCGUUUAUGGAGGAGACGAAGAGCUCGUCGUAAAGGGUUACGUCGACGCUAGCUUCGACUCAGAUCUGGAUGACUCUAAGUCACAAACCGGAUACGUGUAUAUGUUGAAUGGUGGAGCAGUAAGCUGGUGCAGCUGCAAGCUGAGCGUCGUGGCGGGAUCUACGUGUGAAGCGGAGUACAUGGCAGCCUCGGAGGCAGCGCAUGAAGCGAUUUGGGUGAAGGAGUUCAUCACCGACCUAGGAGUCAUACCCAAUGCGUCGGGGCCGAUCAAACUCUUCUGUGACAACACUGGAGCUAUUGCCCUCGCCAAGGAGCCCAGGUUUCACAAGAAGACCAGGCACAUCAAGCGUCGUUUCAACUCCAUCCGUGAAAAUGUUCAAGAUGGAGACAUAGAGAUUUGCAAAGUGCACACGGAUCUGAAUGUCGCAGAUCCGCUGACUAAACCUCUCUCGCGUGCAAAACAUGAUCAACACCAGAACUCUAUGGGUGUUCGAUUCAUCACAAUGUAACUAGAUUGGUGACUCUAGUGCAAGUGGGAGACUGUUGGAAAUAUGCCCUAGAGGCAAUAAUAAAAGUAUUAUUAUAUUUCAAUGUUCAUGAUAAAUGUCUUUUAUUCAUGCUAUAACUGUAUUAUCCGGAAAUCGUAAUACACGUGUGAAUACUUAGACCACAAUAUGUCCCUGGUGAGCCUCUAGUUGACUAGCUCGUUGUGAUCAACAGAUAGUCAUGGUUUCCUGACUAUGGACAUUGGAUGUCGUUGAUAACGGGAUCACAUCAUUAGGAGAAUGAUGUGAUGGACAAGACCCAAUCCUAAGCAUAGCAUAAAAGAUCGUGUAGUUCGUUUUGCUAGAGCUUUGCCAAUGUCAAGUAUCUCUUCCUUCGACCAUGAGAUCGUGUAACUCCCGGAUACCGUAAGAGUGCCUUGGGUGUAUCAAACGUCACAACAUAACUGGGUGACUAUAAAGGUGCUUACAGGUAUCUUCGAAAGUAUCUGUUGGGUUGACACGGAUCGAGACUGGGAUUUGUCACUCCGUAUGACGGAGAGGUAUCUCUGGGCCCACUCGGUAAUGCAUCAUCAUAAUGAGCUCAAUGUGACCAAGGUGUUGGACACGGGAUCAUGCAUUACGGUACGAGUAAAGUGACUUGCCGGUAAUGAGACUGAACAAGGUAUUGGGAUACCGACGAUCGAGUCUCGGGCAAGUAACGUACCGAUUGACAAAGGGAAUUGUAUACAGGGUUUGAUCGAAUCCUUGACAUCGUGGUUCAUCCGAUGACAACAUCGAGGAGCAUGUGGGAGCCAUCAUGGGUAUCCAGAUCCCGCUGUUGGUUAUUGACCUGAGAGCGUCUCGGUCAUGUCUGCAUGUCUCCCGAACCCGUAGGGUCUACACACUUAAGGUUCGGUGACGCUAGGGUUAUUAGGAAGACUAGUAUGUGACUACCGAAUGUUGUUCGGAGUCCCGGAUGGGAUCCUGGACGUCACGAGGAGCUCCGGAAGGGUCCGGAGGUAAAGAUUUAUAUAUGGGAAGUUGUCAAACGGGCACCGGGAAGUUUCGGGGUCAUACCGGUAUUGUACCUGGGCCACCGGAAGGGUUCCGGGGGUCCACCGGGAGGGGCCACCCCUCCCGGGGGGGCCACAUGGGCUGCGUGGGGCAGGGAGCCAGCCCCUGGUGGGUUGGGCGCACCCCCUCCUUUGGGCCCUUGCGCCUAGGGUUGAGGGGGGAACCCUAGAGGGGGCGCCCCCUUGGCUUGGGGGGCAAGCCACCCUCUCCCCCUCUCCCCUUGGCCGCCGCACCCCCCUAGAUGGGUUCUAGGGGGCCGGCCCCCUUCUCCCUUCCCCCAAUAAAUAGAGGGGUGAGGGGAGGGCAGCCGCACCACCCUCCAAGGCGCAGCCCUCCCCUCCCCAACACCUCUCCUCCUCCGUUGUGUGCUUGGCGAAGCCCUGUCGGAGUACUGCCUCUCCACCAUCACCACGCCGUCGUGCUGCCGGUGGAGCUGUCUUCCUCAACCUCUCCUUCCCCCUUGCUGGAUCAAGAAGGAGGAGACGUCUCCCGUCCCGUACGUGUGUUGAACGCGGAGGUGCUGUCCGUUCAGCACUUGGUCAUCGGUGAUUCGAAUCACGUCGAGUACGACUCCAUCAUCACCUUGCAAGCUUCCGCACGCGAUCUACAAGUGGUAUGUAGAUGCAAACUCACUCCCUUGACUCGUUGCUUAGAUGAACUCAUAGAUGGAUCUUGGUGAAACCGUAGGAAAAAUUUUAAUUUUCUGCAACGUUCCCCAACACAUGAGCCUUUUCUUCAAAGUUUACUUAAAAGUUGGGUUAUUAGGUAAAAAAUGGUUCCUUUCCUUUUGUGCUUGCAAUUUAUUGUCCUGACAAAAACACUUUUUAUUGCAGUGCUAAGAAAAUGCGUCUACUACUUGACUGAGCUAAAUACUCUUGAUAGCAAACCCUCUCUGGGCAUAUUCGUAGAUUCAAGGUGAGGAGACAUGCCAGCAUACAGACCAGCCUUAAAAAUAGUCAGAUAAACAUUGCAAGAUGUACAUACAUGGCACAUGUACGAUGUUCUAACAAGAGCAUAAAGUUGAUUGAUUCUUGAUAGCAUCACCUGAAUAUAUCACUCACGGAUUCAUGAAUGUUCCCCGUUGCAAUGCACGGCCAUUCACCUAGUAAAGGCAAUGAUUUGUUGGUAGUAGAGGCAUCUCAUGUUUCAAAGGGUUAAACCUUACCGUCGUGACCCGGCUCCAUGGCUGGGUCAAUCUUGCACCUCUGUUGGUGCCGAACCCUAGGCAAAUUCCCCCAAAUCUCUUGUUGUUUCUAUUGAUUGACCGAAUGUGAGGAGCGAUAGUAGAUCAAUAACUCUCGUAUAACCGAGGGAAAAAGAAAUGAAGAGAAGUUGGCGAAAGUAUCAAGUGGUACAUCUACUUUUUAUAAUAUCACAUGAAGCCGGCAAAAAGGAAAGCCGACCAACGAAGAAACUGCAUAGGGGACCUAUCAUGAGUGAACAUUGCGUGGGCGCCACUGGCCGCAUCUCAUCAUAUUGUUGUGUAGAAGAAGAAAUGACCGCCGAUGCUGCUGGUGCCUCCAUCUCUACGACCUUGCCGUCCAAGCCCGCAAUAGCAACAAACACGUAGCACUAGAGCACGGGAGGAGAGGUGAUCAGGGAAAUUCGUCUUUCUUGAUGGCAGGAUAAUUAGUGAUGGGCGACUCCACGCGACGCUGAUGUGAUUUCAGGCCACACUAAAGGAUGUCGGAGAAGGGGGCCGUAGGACGAACUCAACAACAUCGGUAGUGGGCUUGGUGGAUAUUGUGUCGAGGGCUCGGGGACGCACUCGGUGAAGGUGGUGGACCUCGGGGAGGGGGCCCUCAUACACGUGGAUGCAGGGGAAAAGAGGGUGCACGGGCUUGGAGGCAUUACUCAUCCACCUCUUCUGGCAAAGAGAGCUCAUCGGGGCCAACCGCGUGAAGGAGGAGCUUGAGGUAGCUUGGAGGAGGCGACGACGGCAGCCAGAUCCAUGUGGCAAGCCAGAGUGGAGGCAUCCCACAUGGGAGCAGUGAUUUCAGAGCCUAAGCUUAGAUGCACCUGCUAUUAUGUUUGUUCAUUGCUGCAUGGAGAUUCGGGAAAUGGGGCAUGAGGUUGCAUUGCUAGGGCGUGGAAAAUCCCCAAAACGAACUAUACAUGCAUGAAUAGUGCGAUACAUGUGGGUCUAUCAUGUAGCACACGAGGAGGGUUCGAACGAAGGACAAGCAGUGCCAUCUUGGUUGGAUUCUGAUCCAUGGCACCUAAUCGUCUGCAUUCAUCUAAGUCGUGGCUCACUUUGCUAGCCCGUGGUGUGACUUUGAAACUUUGAAUCCGAGUCAUGGCCUAAAGAUUUGUAUAGCUCCAGUUGGGGCCUGCGGUGUAGGAUCGUCAGUACGCACACCGAAUGUCAUCCACGACCGACAUCGGCCAACAGAUUGCUAGCUUACCAGACGCUACAAGAGGUAGCGUCCUUCGUGAAGUUUGUGUGCUUCAUCACCAACCAGGUCAUCCUAAGCCAUAAUGGACAACCCAUUCAUCUACGUAGUUGACUUCAACACUGGAGACGACUUCUCAUGGUCGUUGAUCAUGUCACACCUUGCUCACCAUGGCAACAAGCUGUUUCAUGUCACGUCACUUGCCACCACAUUAAUGCACCGCACGGAUACGCAUGCACCAACAGUCGUGCAUGGUGUCCGUCGGAGUUCGCGCGCGUCCCUAGGGUCUCCCAUUCCAGUACGAUGAGAAGGACCUCCUGGUCUGGGCUGGAAGUCACGUAAUGGUACCUACAACAAUCUCGAAAAGAGUAGAAGGCCUGGAUUUCAAGAGCAUCUGAGCUCGCACUUAGAAAUCUAUUUUUGUUCCCACGGUCCAUACAUAGAGAGAAACUAGAAAAGAAAACGCAAAACACGCAUACAUGCAUGCAUGCUUCCACAAAUGGGUUACCACAUACCUUUCUAGGAUUCUGGUGACCUCACAUUCAUUGUUGACCCCUUAUGACCUCACAUUCAUGGGAGAGAUUUCCUGAUCUCACAUUGUCUCUAUAAAAGUCUAUCACCUCUACGAAUCAUGUGUCUCCACCAUUUCAAAUCCUCCGCGCGCCUAACAUACCACUUGAGAAAUUACUAAUGGCCAACAGAAAGAAUGUCAUGGCCAUGUUAUUUCUCACCACCAUUGUGGCGGUGGCGGCCACAAGGCCAGCCGAGACCUAUGGCGUUGCGGAGGAGAACACAUUGAAGAUGGCUACCCCCAGCAGGAAAGGGGUUGACGCUACCUUAGCAACUACACGUGUUGUUGCCGCCGAGAAGUCCAUCAAGAAGGCUGAAAGCGUCACCACACCAGAAGAGGCCGCGGCUGCCAAGCAAGAUGGAGCAAAAUCUGCUUCUGCUGCAUUAAAGUACAAUGCCAUCUCUCAGCAGGCAAAUGGUAAAGGUUCUUCUACCUCCCUAGGCAGGAAAGAAGCAGCCAAUACUUUAGCCGCCGCACACUAUGCCGCCACCGAGAAGUCCAUCAAGAAGGCCGAAACCACCAAGACACCUGCAAAGGUCGUGGCUGCCAAGCGAGACGCAGCAAAGUCUGUUGAUGAUGCAUUAAAGUAUGGUGCCAUCUCUCGGAAAGCAGCUGGUACAAGUUCUUCUACCUCCCCCAAUAAGAAAGAAGGCACCACUGAUGCUGCUAAGAUGUUCACCAAGAAGGCUGAAACCGCUACCACACCUGAAGAGGCCGCGGCUGCCAAGCAAGCUGCAGCCAAGUCUACCGCUGCUGCAUCAAAGUAUGGUGUCAUUUCUCAGCAAGUAGCUGGUACAAGUUCUUCUACCUCCCCUAGCAGGAAAGAAGCUGCCGGUACCUUGGCAGAUGCUCGCAUAGCUGCUGCCGAGAAGUCCAUCAAGAAGGCUGAAACCGCCACAAGACCUGAAGAGGCAGCAUCCGCUAAGAAGGAUGCCACAAAAUCCGAGGCUGAUGCAAUGAAGUACGGGGCCAUCUCUCAGCAGGCCGCCGGCAAAAAUGGUGCCUAAGUGGUGCCUUAAACACCUAUUCACACGCAACAUCAUCUACAUACUACCAUGCAUGCAAAAUAGCAGCAUUCAGAUACCACAUUAUGCUAAUUCUCAUGCAUGCACACUUUGUUUAAACGUUCCCAUUACGAAUCAUGUAUUAAUGUCUUGCUUGUUUUAUUUUUAGUAGUAAGACAUGCUUGACUUGCUUUAAAAAAAAUACAACAAUCGAUGUAUACAUGUAUUAUCUAAAAAUCAGUAAUAUGAGUUCCACCGCAAUUUGUUUCUUUUUGUCAUAAUUUGGGUGCAAUCAAUGCACACAUCCAAUACACAAAAUUGGACGACUCAAUGUGUUGUGGCUCCAUGGAGCGGCGAAUCAUGUUUUAUUGUCUUGCUUGUUUUACUUUUAGUAGUAAUGUCUUGCUGGUCAAUGUAUUAUGGCUCCAUGGAGCGGCAUAAUGAUAUAUGAUAUAUCUUCACUACUUCAAAAAGAACUUAAGGUUUCGUCAUACAUCUUUCCUUCAUCCAUCCUCCCUACGAAUCCUUCCUGUUUUGAUUUUUUUCUCCCAUCUUUGAUUUUUCUCCCCAUUGAUUCUACCUAAAAACCACCUCAAUGUCACAUGUUUACUGUAUAUGUCAAGGCCUCCUUUGGUUCAUAGGGUAGAAAAAAACAUAGGAAUAGGAAAGUCAUAGGAAAUGAGAUGACAUGUAUCUCAAAUCCUAUGAUUGGGAAUAGGAAAGGAGAUGCCCUUUGAUUCACAUCAUAGGAUUUUUUCAUUGAAUCUAGGCUAAUGUUUAUUUUCCUAUGAAAUGUGAAGGAGAGGAAGAAUUCCUCCAUAGGAUUAGGAUUCCAUUCCUACAAACCAAAGGACUCUAAAGGAAUUUUUUCUAUAGAAAUCCUAUCCUAUGAAAUUCUUACAAGAUUCCUCCAAAUCAAAGGAGGCCCAAGUGGUUGUGAUGAGACAGUGGCUGGGCACUUCAGAUUUAUUCCCGUAACUGACUGUCAAAUUGAGUCAUCUGUCGUCCUUUCGAUGAUUGUAAGAAAGUUAUAUGUUUACUGUAUGUGCCAAUUGGUUGUGAUUAUCGUUACCGGCCACAAAGUUAUAUUUUCUUGUCUUAACGAAGGGUUGCAUACAAUGCGUGUAGCUCUUGACGCCUGAUAACCCACAAGUAUAGGGGAUCGCAACAGUUUUUGAGGGUAGAGUAUUCAACACAAAUUUAUAGAUUCGACACAAGGGGAGCCAAAGAAUAUUUGUAAGUAUUAACAGCUGAGUUAUCAAUUCAACCACACCUGGAGAUUAAUUAUCUGCAGCAAAGUGAUCAGUAGCAUAGUAGUAUGAUAGUUUUGAUAGUAGUAGCAACAUCAACAGUAACGGUAAUAGUGGUAGCAAUGGUUUUGUAGCAGUGACAAUAGUAACAGCAGCAGUAGUAACUUAGCAAGAACAAUAUGUACGAAAAUCGUACGCAUUGGAUCGGUGAUUUGUUGGAUGAUAUUCAUCAUGUGACAGUUACAACCUAGGACGAUACGGCACUAGCUCCAGUUCAUAAAUAUAAUGUAGGCAUGUAUUCUAUAAAUAAUCAUACGUGCUUAUGGAAAGAACUUGUAUGACAUCUUUUGUCCUACCCUCCUGUGGCAGCGGUGUCCUAUUGGAAACUAAGGGAUAUUAAGGCCUCCUUUUAAUAGAGAACCAGAACAAAGCAUUAACACACGGUGAAUACAUGAACUCCUCAAACUACGGUCAUCACAGGGAAGUGUCCCGACUAUUGUCACUCCGGGGUUGCCGGAUCAUAACACGUAGUAGGUAACUAUAACUUGCAAGAUUGGAUCUAGAACAUAGAUAUAAUGGUGAUAACAUAAGUCAUAGCAACAUCAAUCUCAGAACAUAAUGGAUACUCGGGAUGAAGCCCUAACAAAACUAACUCAAUUACAUGAUGAAUCUCAUCCAACUCCUCACCGACCAGCGAGCCUACGAAGGAAUUACUCACUCCUGGUGGGGAGCAUCAUGGAAUUGGCGAUGGAGAAGGGUUGGUGAUGACGAAGAUCGAAGACCCCCCUCUCUGGAGCCCCAAACGGACUCCAAAUCUAGCCUCCCGAUGAAGAACAGGAGAUGACGGCGGCUCUGUCUCGUGGAUCGUGAUAAUUCUUUCUUCCUGAUUUUUUCUGGAAAAAUAGGAUUUUAUAGCGUCGGAUUCAGGGCCUGCGGGGCCACCAGGUGGGGACAACCCACCUGGGUGUGCUUGGAGGGGGGGGGCCUGGUGGGUUGUGCCCAUCCAGGUGCCCCCCUCCGGUUGUUCUUGGCUCCAGAAAUUCUCUGUAUUUGUAUAAAAAUUCCUCGCAAAGUUUUGUUCCAAUCCGAAAACUUUUAUUUCUGCACAAAAAAAACACCAUGGUAGUUUUGUUGGAAACAGCGUCAGUCCGGGUUAGUUUCAUUCAAAUCAUGCAAAUUAGAGUGCAAAACAAGAGGAAAGUGUUAGGAAAAGUAGAUACGACGGAGAUGUAUCAACUCCUCCAAGCUUAAACCUUUGCUUGUCCUCAAGCAAUUCAGUUGAUAAACUGAAAGUGAAAAAAAAAUUACGAACUCUUUUGCUCUUGUUUUCAUAAAUAAGCUUAAACAUCACCCAGUGUCGAUGUCAAAACCGGCGGAUCUCGGAUAGGGGGUCCCGAACUGUGCGUCUAGGCGGAUGGUAACAGGAGACAAGGGACACGAUGUUUACCCAGGUUCGGGCCCUCUCGAUGGAGGUAAAACCCUACUCCUGCUUGAUUAAUAUUGAUGAUAUGGGCAGUACAAGAGUAGAUCUACCACGAGAUCAAGGAGGCUAAACCCUAGAAGGUAGCCUAUGGUAUGAUUGUUGUUGUCCUACAGACUAAAACUCUCUGGUUUAUAUAGACACCGGAGAGGGUUAGGGUUACACAGAGUCGGUUACAAUGGUAGGAGAUCUACAUAUCUGUAUCGCCAAGCUUGCCUUCCACGCCAAGGAAAGUCCCUUCCAGACACGGGAAGAAGUCUUCAAUCUUGUAUGUUCAUAGUCCGGGAGUCCGGCUGAAGGUAUCGUCCGGCUAUCCGGACACCCCCUAAUUCAGGACUCCCUUAGAGCCCCCGAACCAGGCUUCAAUGACGACGAGUCUGGCACGCAAAUUGUCUUCGGCAUUGCAAGGCGGGUUCUCCUUCAAUUUCUGUGUACCUGCUGAAUAAUGUCCGGUUUCUUAUAAAUGUAGCGCUCCUCGGCUUCCACGCCCAAUAAUGGCCGUCUUCCACGUGUCAAAUGAAUACGAAAAGUCUGGGUGUUUUUACAUUCACACCCCCAGCCGCGUAAAUGAGCCGCCUAUUUAAAGGGACGGGGAUUUAGAUCCAAACCACACCUUCUCCUCUCCGCGAGUUUCAUCAGAGCGCAUCCGACAAAGGACCGUUCCAUCAUGGCCAGCCGUCGCAGCUCCUCCUCUCGCCCUUCCAGCCCUCAUCCUGGAGAUUGGGAGAGAUGCUCCGUCCCGCACAGCGAGCUAGUGUCGCUUCGGACCAAAGGGAUUUCUUCCUCCGGCCUAUAUGGUCCCGGUUCGAGCCGGACUUGCCACCUAUAAUGGCGGAGAGCAAGUGGAGAGCGCCCCCAAUCCCUCCAAAGGAGAGCGGGUAUGCCUUGUCCCUUAUUUAAUAAGAGGGCUCGGAUUUCCAAUUCAUCCAUUUCUCCGGGGGCUCCUGGAGUUCUAUGGCCUCCAGCUGCACAACCUCACGCCUGUCUCCGUAUUGCAUAUUGCGGGCUUCGUAGCCCUUUGCGAGUUGUUUUUGGGUGUUGAGGCUCAUUUCGCGCUGUGGAAGAGGCUAUUCUGCCUUGUGCCCUGUUCUUAGGAGGGGUCAAUAUAUCAAGUGGGCGGAGCCAAAGUGUGGUGUAUCGCCGGGACCGGAUAUCUAUCCGGAACCCCAAAGAAGGCGUCUGAGGACUGGCCUUCAGAAUGGUUUUAUAUAGAGGACGUCCCGUUGCCGGAUCCUGUUCGGAUCGGCCUCCCUGAGUUCAACAGCGCUCCCCUAAAGAAAAACCUAAGCUGGCGCCCACGGAGCCCUCAGAGAGAAAGUGACAAGGACAUUCUUUACCUGAUGGGCCGGAUAAGAUUAUUAGCUCAUUCCGGACUAACCAUGAUCGGAGUCAUGGCUGCAUGCAUCAUGCGAGGGGUGCAACCGCUUCAGUACAGAGGCCACCCCAUGUGGGACUUCAACGGGGAGGAUGAUGCCACCCGUCACGGCCGUAAGGGGCCGGACUCGGCUACCGCUCUAGUAAAGAUCUUGUCCGCUUUGUACAAGGGAGAAGAGGAGGAAUUUCUCCGCGUCAACCCACAGGGUGGAUUUACCAUGUACAAUCCCCCAAGUUGGGUAAGUGGGCAAUUUUACUUGCACGUCUGUUUUGUAUUCCCAUCAUUAAAUAUAUAGUCUAACGACUUCAACGCAGGAACUGCGCCUGGAAGUAAAGGACAUAAAUAGCCCGCCUCCACAGCCCGAGGACCCAGAGUUGUCCCUCGAUCCGGCCUCCGAAGAGGAUCCGGACUUAUCCAUGGAGUUAAUUGAUGGGGUGUUUUAUCAAUUGAGCAAGGACAAUGCCUUGGUGGCCAUUAAGGCCGAUUACCCGGGGCUGCUCCCGGCCUCCCAGGUAACUGAGACCGAAGUCCUAGCACCUCAAAAAGGGAUCCGCCCUCGCGUGUUUUUCAGUUUCCUGACAACAACCGUGUUUUGCAGGGGAGGUUCUUGAGACGGGAGGCCGAGCCUGCGGCGACUAGCCAACGAGGGGCUACAGGGCCCCGUGGGAUGAAAAGAAGUGCAGUCCGGAUUGAGGCGCCGGCGCAGAGGUAUAGCACGCCUUCUUAUUCCCAGGUGUUAUUCCUUCAAGGCAUAUUAACACUCGUGCUCUUUUCAGGACAAAAAGACCCCGCCGGACUAUAUCUGGAGAGGCUGCCAAUCGCGCCUCCACCAGCCAGGCUCCAAAGCCUGGUCCGGAGACGGAGGCGAACACGAGGCGCGCACCGGACGCUCCUCCAACAGAGGAUGCGGACAGGCUGUCCGCCACUAAUUCCGAGGUGGAGAGUGCCAUGAACCACAGGCGUCGCCGGACAGUUCUUCGCGACGCUUGUUUCUCCCAAGAGGCAUUGGACGCCUUCAAUUCGGGAGAUGCGUACCUCCGUGCCGCUCAAAAUGGUCUAGCCAGAGCCACGGAGCAAUAUGUAAAAGACAUACAGGUGAGAAAAUUUAAUGGUUAUAUAUAUCAGUAGCCCCCGAGACUUGAAACAGUUAGAAGAACUGAUUUAAGGAUCAUUCAUAAUGCAGGUUCUUGCGGAAAAGAAUACCCAACUGUCCCAGGAGCUAGAAGAGUGCAAAGCCCAACUUGAGGCCGCACUAGCCGCGACAGGGGAGCCCAAGGAGACCCCCUCUGGUAAUAUGUGCUUCAAAAAGAGAAGUAUUUUGUGAAGUGCGGCGUUUGUGCAAAUCUGACAAAUGAAAUUGCAGAUGGCGCCGGAUUAGAUCCGGAAAAGCAACAACUCCUACGCCAGCUAAAGGCUGGUGAGAGCGUGCUGACAAAGGUGAGGUGGGAGAAGAACGAUCUCCAAUAUGCCAACACCAAGCUGGGCGUUGAACUGAAAGAUGUUUGUGCCCAGCUGUCGGACUCCGCUAAGGAGAAUCAGCGGCUUCGACGCGGCAUAUUUAGUAAGUGCUUAAACGAACUUUGAAUAAAGAGUUCGACGAGGAAGUCGACUAACGGAGUAAUGUCUGUAGGUAUGCUAACAGGUCGUCCUGCAGAGGAGAUGCCCGGUUCUAUGGGUGACCUUCUUCCCGAGCUCUUGCAACUGCACGAGCGAGUUCGGCAGGUGAUGCAGGGCGUCGCCCAGGCCUUGUGGCCAUCCAUCUCCAUGCCCGAAGGACUUGGAGAGCUUGCAGAGAAGCUGAAGGGAGCGCGGCGGCGCUUCUGAUUGUGGAAGAUAUCGGCCUGCGUCAAGGCGCUAGGGAGGCAUGGGCCAUGGUGAAGACGCGGUACACGAAGGCUGACCCAAACCACAUGGCCGAGGUCGGACCUGUGGGGCCCGAUGGGAAGGAGAUCCCUGUAAGCUUCGUAUACGGCUAAGUAGAAUUGGCCGCAAAGUAUUCCCAGCAGGACUGUAAGCUAGACAGCCUGUUAGAUGGUAUUGAAGAGGAAUACAAUCAGUCAUAAUGACUAUGUAAUUUUAAUUGACAUGUGUAAUGCCUUCUAGCCAGAUUGUAGAUCAUUUUUCAUGGCCGACCUUUUUGCUUCGACCUCGGGACCUGCGGUCUGGAGUGUGUCCGAAUACCCUUGCGGUUAUAUAAGAACCGGGGUAUGCAUGGAGACUAGGCGUAGGGGUCAUUAGUGCUUGAACAGACAAGUGCCCGACUAGUUAUGUUAUAUUACAUGGUUAGUAAGAAACAUCUUCCAGGGAGAAUAGUUCCGUUAGGGGUUCCUUUCCCUGGGAGGCAUGCCCUAAAGUGCAUGUCCAUUCUGCGAAAAAGAGACGCAGGAAAAAACAUCUGGGGGCGCAUAGAUAAAUAAGUGAAAAAAUCAUCUUUAGUUCACCGACCGAAUAUUUCCUUAAGAACGCUAGCUUUCGGCUUCACCCAGUCUGAGGUACACAUCGGGCUGACCCGGCAGUAACAAUCGCAGAGGUGCUCCCUUUACCACCUAGCCGAACAAUCGGGAACAUAGGGGUAAGCACAGGAGCCAGGCAACCCAGCUUGGCCAAAAAUUAAGUCAUAUCGAUGCAUAUGAUGGUGAAUAAAAGGUACAUGCGGAAGUGUGACACAUGUGUUGGGCAUGAAGCCCGUAUAAGCUUCUGUUCAAAGAAGCCCCCAGGUUUAGUGAGCGUGGAUAGCGCGUCACUUGAUGAGCCUUUAAAGGCUAUAAGAGAAAGGAGGGGGAGAAGGAGAAAAUGGAAGACAGAAAAUAUAAAAAAUGGACAGAGGAAGGAGACGAACAUAGAGUCCGGCGCUAGGCAUAGAAUCUUCGGAGACGGGCUGCGUUCCAUGGGUUCGGUUCGAGUCGGUUAUCCGAUGCAUCUCGCAGGCGGUAUGCUCCACCAGUCAGGACUUGGUCAAUUAUGAAGGGACCUUCCCACUUGGGCUGGAGUUUGUCCUUUUUCUUGUCCGGCAGGCGUAGAACUAGUUCGCCAACAUUGUAAUUUUUGGCCCGUACUUCUCUGCUUUGAUAUCUUCGAGCCUGCUGUUGAUAGAAUGCGGAACGGGCUUUUGCCACGUCACGCUCCUCCUCCAAGGCAUCUAAACUGUCCUGCCGAUCGAGCUCGGCUUCUCUUUCUUCGUACAUGCGCACUCAAGGUGAGUCAUGAAUUAUAUCGCAGGGCAAAACUGCUUCUGCACCGUACACCAUGAAGAAUGGUGUGUAUCCGGUGGUGCGAUUCGACGUGGUCCGCAGCCCCCAGAGUACGGAGUCGAGCUCCUCUACCCAGUGCGUGUUAGAUUCCUUAAGGUACCGCACUAAUCUGGGUUUGAUGCCGCUCAUGAUAAGACCAUUUGCGUGUUCGACCUGUCCGUUAGUUUGUGGGUGAUAGACGGAAGCAUAAUCGAGCUUGAUGCCCAUGUUUUUGCACCAGAGUUUUACCUCAUCGACCGUAAAGUUCGUACCGUUAUCAGUGAUGAUGCUGUGGGGGACGCCGUAACGGUGUACGACCCCCGAUAUAAAGUCUAUCACCGGUCCGGAUUCGGCCGUCUUAAUAGGCUUGGCCUCUAUCCAUUUGGUGAACUUAUCCACCAUGACCAGUAAGUAUUUUUUCUUCUGGGUUCCGCCUUUAAGGGGUCCAACCAUGUCAAGCCCCCAGACCGCGAAGGGCCAAGUGAUGGGGAUAGUUUGGAGGGCGGUGGGUGGCAUAUGGCUUUGGUUUGGCAAAAGCUGGCAACCGACGCAUCGUUGGACUAAGUCCUGAGCGUCUGCCCGGGCCGUUGGCCAAUAAAAGCCUGUACGGAAAGUCUUGCUUACGAGGGACCGAGUUGCGGUGUGAUGACCAUCGAGUCCGGCAUGAAUUUCAGCCAGCAAGUUCCGCCCAUCCUCCUCGGAGAUGCACCUUUGAAGGACUCCGGUAGUGCUUUUCUUAUAAAGCUCUCCCUCAUGGACUUUAUAGGCUUUAGAUCGCCGCACUAUGCAGCGUGCCUCAUUUUGGUCUUCUGGGAGUUCCUGCCUAGUAAGGUAGGCUAGGAAUGGUUCUGUCCACGGGGCGAUGACCGCCAUUAUUACGUGGGCUGAAGAUGUGACUUCAUUGGCAGAAUCUCCAAUUAUGUCAGUGUUGGGUAACGUAGCAGAAAUUCAAAAUUUUCCUACGUGUCACCAAGAUCUAUCUAUGGAGAAACCAGCAACGAGGGGAAGGAGAGUGCAUCUACAUACCCUUGUAGAUCGCUAAGCGGAAGCGUUCAAGAGAACGGGGUUGAAGGAGUCGUACUCGUCGUGAUCCAAAUCACCGAUGAUCCUAGUGCCGAACGGACGGCACCUCCGCGUUCAACACACGUACAGCCCGGUGACGUAUCCCACGCCUUGAUCCAGCAAGGAGAGAGGGAGAGGUUGAGGAAGACUCCAUCCAGCAGCAGCACAACGGCGUGGUGGUGGUGGAGGAGCGUGGCAAUCCUGCAGGGCUUCGCCAAGCACCACGGGAGAGGAGGAAGGAGAGAUGCAGGGCUGCGUCAUAUAGAAGAGAGGAACUCGCGUCUUAUGAGCAGCCCAAACCUCAACUAUAUAUAGGGGAAGGGGAGAGGCUGCGGCCCCUUUAGGGUUUCCACCCCUAGGGGUGGCGGCCAGCCUAGAUCCCAUCUAAGGGAGGCGGCCAAGGGGGAGGGGGAGAGGGAGGCGCACCAGGAUGGGCCUUAGGGCCCAUCUGCCCUAGGGUUUGCCCCCUUCUCCUCUCCCUUGCACCUUGGGCCCUUGUGGGGGGGGGGGCGCACCAGCCCACCUGGGGCUGGUCCCCUUCCACACUUGGCCCAUGAAGCCCUCCGGGGCUGGUUUGCCCCACUUGGUGGACCCCCGGGACCCUCCCGGUGGUCCCGGUACGUCACCGAUAAACCCCGAAACUUUUCCGGUGACCAAAACAGGACUUCCCAUAUAUAAAUGUUUACCUCCGGACCAUUCCAGAACUCCUCGUGACGUCCGAGAUCUCAUCCGGGACUCCGAACAACAUUCGGUAACCACAUACAAACUUCCUUUAUAACCCCAGCGUCAUCGAACCUUAAGUGUGUAGACCCUACGGGUUUGGGAGACAUGCAGACAUGACCGAGACGUUCUCUGGUCAAUAACCAAUAGCGGGAUCUGGAUACCCAUGUUGGCUCCCACAUGUUCCACGAUGAUCUCAUCGGAUGAACCACGAUGUCAAGGACUUAAUCAAUCCCGUAUACAAUUCCCUUUGUCUAUCGGUACGAUACUCGCCCGAGAUUCGAUCGUCGGUAUCCCGAUACCUUGUUCAAUCUCAUUACCGGCAAGUCUCUUUACUCGUUCCGUAACACAUCAUCCCGUGAUCAACUCCUUGAUCACAUUGUGCACAUUAUGAUGAUGUCCUACCGAGUGGGCCCAGGGAUACCUCUCCGUCACACGGAGUGAUAAAUCCCAGUCUCGAUUCGUGCCAACCCAACAGACACUUUCAGAGAUACCCGUAGUGUACCUUUAUAGCCACCCAGUUACCUUGUGACGUUUGGCACACCCAAAGCACUCCUACGGUAACCGGGAGUUGCACAAUCUCAUGGUCUAAGGAAAUGAUACUUGACAUUAGAAAAGCUUUAGCAUACGAACUACACGAUCUAGUGCUAUGCUUAGGAUUGGGUCUUGUCCAUCACAUCAUUUUCCUAAUGAUGUGAUCCCGUUAUCAACGACAUCCAAUGUCCAUGGUCAGGAAACCGUAACCAUCUAUUGAUCAACGAGCUAGUCAACUAGAGGCUUACUAGGGACAUGGUGUUGUCUAUGUAUCCACACAUGUAUCUGAGUUUCCUAUCAAUAUAAUUCUAGCAUGGAUAAUAAACGAUUAUCAUGAACAAGGAAAUAUAAUAAUAAUCAAUUUAUUAUUUCCUCUAGGGCAUAUUUCCAACAGUCUCCCACUUGCACUAGAGUCAAUAAUCCAGUUCACAUCGUUAUGUGACUAACACUCAAGGUCACAUCCCCAUGUGACUAACACCCAAAGAGUUUACUAGAGUCAAUAAUCUAGUUCACAUUUACCAUGUGAUUAACACUCGAUGAGUUCUGGGUUUGAUCAUGUUAUGCUUGUGAGAGAGGUUAUAGUCAACGGGUCUGAACCUUUCAGAUCCGUGUGUGCUUUACAAAUCUCUAUGUCAUCUCCUAGAUGCAGCUACCACGCUCUAUUUGGAGCUAUUCCAAAUAACUGUUCUACUAUACGAAUCCAGUUUACUACUCAGAAUAAUCUGGAUUAGUGUCAAAGUUUGCAUCGGCGUAACCCUUUACGACGAACUCUUUUACCACCUCCAUAAUCGAGAAAAUUCCUUAGUCCACUAGUUACUAAGGAUAACUUUGAUCGCUGUCCUGUGAUCCAUUCUUGGAUCACUCUUGUACCCCUUGACUGACUCAUGGCAAGGCACACUUCAGGUGCGGUACAUAGCAUAGCAUACUGUAGAGCCUAUGUCUUAAGCAUAGGGGACGACCUUCGUUCUUUCUCUCUAUUCUGCCGUGGUCAAGCUUUAAGUCUUAACUUCAUACCUUACAACUCAGGCAAGAACUCCUUCUUUGACUGAUCCAUCUUGAACACCUUCAAGAUCAUGUCAAGGAAUGUGCUCAUUUGAAAGUACCAUUAAGUGUUUUGAUCUAUCCUUAUAGAUCUUGAUGCUCAAUGUUCAAAUAGCUUAAUCCAGGCUUUCCAUUGAAAAAACACUUUCCAAAUAACCCUAUAUGCUUUCCAGAAAUUCUACGUCAUUUCUGAUCAACAAUAUGUCAACAACAUAUAUUCAUCAGAAAUUCUAUAGUGCUCCCACUCACUUCUUUGGAAAUACAAGUUUCUCAUAAACUUCGUAUUCACCCAAAAUCUUUGAUCAUCUCAUCAAAGCAUACAUUCCAACUCGAGAUGCUUACUCCAGUACUUAGAAGGAUUGCUGGAGCUUUGCAUACUUAUUAGCAUAUUUCAGGAUUGACAAAACCUUCCGGUUGUAUCACAUACAACCUUUCCUCAAAAAUCAUCGAGGAAACAAUGUUUUGACAUCCUAUCUGCAAGAUUUCAUAAAUGAUGCAGUAAUUGCUAAUAUAAUUCCAACAGACUCUUAGCAUCGCUACGAGUGAGAAAGUCUCAUCGUAGUCAACUCCUUGAACUUGUCGGAAAACAUCUUAAUGACAAGUCGAGCUUUCUUAAUGGUGAUACUUACCAUCAUUGUCCGUCUUCCUUUUAAAAUCCAUAUGUACCUAACAGCCUUACGACCAUCAAGUUGUUCUUCCAAAGUCUACACUUUGUUUUCACAUAUGGAUCCUCUCUCGGAUUAUAUGGCCUUGAGCCAUUUUGGAAUCCAGGCCCACCAUUGCUCCUCCAUAGCUCGUAGGUUCAUUGUUGUCUAGCAACAUGACUUCCAAGACAGGAUUACGUACCAUUCUAAAGCAGUACACAUCCUUGUCAUCCCACGAGGUUUGGUAGUGACUUGAUCUGAAGUUUCAUGAUCACUAUCAUAAGCUUCCACUUCAAUUGGUGUAGGUGCCACAGGAACAACUCCCUGUGCCCUGCCACACACUAGUUGAAGAGAUGGUUCAAUAACCUCAUCAAGUCUCCACCAUCCUCCCACUCAAUUCUUUCGAGAGAAACUUUUCCUCGAGAAAGGACCCGAUUCUAGUAACAAUCCCUUAUUGCUUUCGAAUCUGAGACAGGAGGUAUACCCAACUGUUUUGGGUGUCCUAUGAAGAUGUAUUUAUCCGCUUUGGGUUCGAGCUUAUCGACCUGAAACUUUUUCACAUAAGCGUCGCAGCCCCAAACUUUUAAGAAAUGACAGCUUAGGUUUCUCUAAACCAUAGUUCAUACGGUGUCAUCUCAUCGGAAUUACGUGGUGCCCUAUUUAAAGUGAAUGUGGUUGUCUCUAAUGCCUAACCCAUAAACUAUUGUGGUAAUUCGAUAAGAGACAUCAUGGUAUGCAUCAUAUCCAAUAGGGUGCAGUUAUGAUGUUCGGACACACCAUCACACUAUGGUGUUCCAGGCUGUAUCAGUUGUGAAACAAUUUCCACAAUGUCUUAAUUCUGUGCCAAACUCGUAAUUCAGAUAUUCAUCUCUAUGAUCAUAUCAUAGAUAUUUUAUCCUCUUGUCACGAUGAUCUUUCAACUUCACCCUGAAAUUACUUGAACCUUUCAAUAAUUCAAACUCAUGAUUCAUCAAGUAAAUAUACUCAACAUCUACUCAAAUCAUCUGUGAAGUAAGAACAUAACGAUAUCCACUACAUUCCUCAGCACUCAUUGGACUGCACACAUCAAAAUGUAUUACUUCCAACAAGUUGCUUUCUAGUUCCAUUUUACUGAAACCGAGGCUUUCAGUCAUCUUGCCCAUGUGGUAUGAUUUGCAUGUCUCAAGUGAUUCAAAAUCAAGUGAGUCCAAAUGGUCCAUUUGCAUGGAGUUUCUUCAUGCAUAUACACCAAUAGACAUGGUUCGCAUGUCUCAAACUUUUCAAAAAUGAGUGAGCCCAAAGAUCCAUCAACAUGGAGCUUCUUCAUGCGUUUUAUACUGAUAUGACUUACGUGGCAGUGCCACAAGUAGGUGGUACUAUCAUUACUAUCUUAUAUCUUUUGGCAUGAACAUGUGUAUCACUACGAUCAAGAUUCAAUAAACCAUUCAUUUUAGGUGCAAGACCAUUGAAGGUAUUAUUCAAAUGAACAGAGUAACCAUUAUUCUCCUUAAAUGAAUAGCCGUAUCGCGAUAGACAUAAUCCAAUCAUGUCUAUGCUCAACGCAAACACCAAAUAACAAUUAUUUAGGUUUAACACCAAUCUCGAUGGUAGAGGGAGCGUGCGAUGCUUGAUCAUAUCAACAUUGGAAACACUUCCAACACAUAUCGUCAGCUCACCUUUAGCUAGUCUCCGUUUAUUCCGUAGCUUUUAUUUCAAGUUACUAACACUUAGCAACCGAACCGGUAUCUAAUACCCUGGUGCUACUAGGAGUACCAGUAAAGUACACAUUAACACAAUGUAUAUCCAAUAUACUUCUAUCGACCUUGCCAGCCUUCUCUUCUACCAAGUAUCUAGGGUAAUUCUGCUCCAGUGGCUGUUCCCCUUAUUACAGAAGCACUUAAUUAGUCUCGGGUUUGGGUUCAACCUUGGGUUUCUUCACUAGAGCAGCAGCUAAUUUGCCGUUUCAUGAAGUAUCCCUUCUUGCCCUUGCCCUUCUUGAAACUAGUGGUUUCACCAACCAUCAACAAUUGAUGCUCCUUCUUGAUUUCUACUUUUGUGGUGUCAAACAUCGCGAAUAUCUCAAGGAUCAUCAUAUAUGUCCCUGAUAUAUUAUAGUUCAUCACGAAGCUCUAGCAGCUUGGUGGUAAUGACUUCGGAGAAACAUCACUUUCUCAUCUGGAAGAUCAACUCCCACUCGAUUCAAAUGAUUGUUGUACUCAGACAAUCUGAGCACAAGCUCAACAAUUGAGCUUUUCUCCCUUAGUUUGCAGGCUAAGAAAAUUGUCGGAGGUCUUAUACCUCUUGACAUGGGCACGAGCCUGAAAUCCAAAUUUCAGCCCUCGAAACAUCUCAUAUGUUUUGCGACGUUUCAAAACGUCUUUGGUGCCUCAACUCUAAACCGUUUAACUGAACUAUCACGUAGUUAUGAAAAUGUGUAUGUCAGAUGUUCGCAACAUCCACAGACAACGUUCGAGGUUCAGCACACUGAGCGGUGCAUUAAGGACAUAAGCCUUCUAUGAAGCAAUGAGGACAAUCCUCAGUUUACGGACCUAGUCCGCAUAAUUGCUACUAUCAACUUUCAACUAUUUUUUUUUCUCUAGGAACAUAUCUAAACAGUAGAACUAAAGCGCGAGCUACGACAUAAUUUGCAAAAUCCUUUUGACUAUGUUCAGGAUAAACAAGUUCAUCUUAUGAACUUCCACUCAGAUAGAUAUCCCUCUAGUCAUCUAAGUGAUUACAUGAUCCGAGUCAACUAGGCCGUGUUCGAUCAUCACGUGAGACGGACUAGUCAUCAUCGGUGAACAUCUUCAUGUUGAUCGUAUCUACCAUACGACUCAUGCUCGACCUUUCGGUCUCUUGUGUUCCGAGGCCAUGUCUGUACAUGCUAGGCUCAUCAAGUCAACCUAAGUGUUUCGCGUGUGUAAAUCUGUCUUACACCCGUUGUAUGUGAACGUUAGAAUCUAUCACGCCCGAUCAUCACGUGGUGCUUCGAAACGACGAACUUUCGCAACGGUGCAUAGUUAGGGGGAACACUUUCUUGAAAUUUUAAUGAGGGAUCAUCUUAUUUACUACUGUCGUUCUAAGCAAAUAAGAUGUAUAAACAUGAUAAACAUCACAUGCAAUCAAAUAGUGAUAUGAUAUGGCCAAUAUCAUAGUGCUCCUUUUGAUCUCCAUCUUCGGGGCUCCAUGAUCAUCAUCACCGGCAUGACACCAUGAUCUCCAUCAUCAUGAUCUCCAUCAUCGUGUCUUCAUGAAGUUGUCUCGCCAACUAUUACUUCUACUACUACAGCUAACUGUUAGCAAUAAAGUGAAGUAAUUACAUGGCGUUGUUUAAUGACACGCAGGUCAUAUAAUAAAUUAAGACAACUCCUAUGGCUCCUGCCGGUUGUCAUACUCAUCGACAUGCAAGUCGUGAUUCCUAUUACAAGAACAUGAUCAAUCUCAUACAUCACAUAUCAUUCAUCACAUUCUUCUUGGCCAUAUCACAUCACAUAGCAUACCCUGCAAAAACAAGUUAGACGUCCUCUAAUUGUUGUUUGCAUGUUUUACGUGGCUGCUAUGGGUUUCUAGCAAGAACGUUUCUUACCUACGCAAAACCACAACGUGAUAUGCCAAUUGCUAUUUACCCUUCAUAAGGACCCUUUUCAUCGAAUCCGAUCCGUCUAAAGUGGGAGAGACAAACACCCGCCAGCCACCUUAUGCAACUAGUGCAUGUUUGUCGAUGGAACCGGUCUCACGUAAGCGUAUGUGUAAGGUUGGUCCGGGCCGCUUCAUCCCACAAUGCCGCCGAAUCAAGAUUGGACUAGUAACGGUAAGCAUAUUGAACAAAAUCAACGCCCACAACUACUUUGUGUUCUACUCGUGCAUAGAAUCUACGCAAUAGACCUAGCUCAUGAUGCCACUGUUGGGUAACGUAGCAGAAAUUCAAAAUUUUCCUAUGUGUCACCAAGAUCUAUCUAUGGAGAAACCAGCAACGAGGGGAAGGAGAGUGCAUCUACAUACCCUUGUAGAUCGCUAAGCAGAAGCGUUCAAGAGAACGUGGUUGAAGGAGUCGUACUCGUCAUGAUCCAAAUCACCGAUGAUCCUAGUGCCGAACGGAUGACACCUCUGCGUUCAACACACGUACAGCCCGGUGACGUAUCCCACGCCUUGAUCCAGCAAGGAGAGAGGGAGAGGUUGAGGAAGACUCCAUCCAGCAGCAGCACAACGGCGUGGUGGUGGUGGAGGAGCGUGGCAAUCCUGCAGGGCUUCGCCAAGCACCACGGGAGAGGAGGAAGGAGAGAUGCAGGGCUGCGUCAUAUAGAGGAGAGGAACUCGCGUCUUAUGAGCAGCCCAAACCUCAACUAUAUAUAGGGGAAGGGGAGGGGCUGCGACCCCUUUAGGGUUUCCACCCCUAGGGGUGGCGGCCAGCCUAGAUCCCAUCUAAGGGAGGCGGCCAAGGGGGAGGGGGAGAGGGAGGCGCACCAGGAUGGGCCUUAGGGCCCAUCUGCCCUAGGGUUUGCCCCCUUCUCCUCUCCCUUGCGCCUUGGGCCCUUGUGGGGGGGGGCGCACCAGCCCACCUGGGGCUGGUCCCCUUCCACACUUGGCCCAUGAAGCCCUCCGGGGCUGGUGGCCCCACUUGGUGGACCCCCGGGACCCUCCCGGUGGUCCCGGUACGUUACCGAUAAACCCCAAAACUUUUCCGGUGACCAAAAUAGGACUUCCCAUAUAUAAAUCUUUACCUCCGGACCAUUCCGGAACUCCUCGUGACGUUCGGGAUCUCAUUCGGGACUCCGAACAACAUUCGGUAACCACAUACAAACUUCCUUUAUAACCCCAGAGUCAUCGAACCUUAAGUGUGUAGACCCUACGGGUUCGGGAGACAUGCAGGCAUGACCGAGACGUUCUCCGGUCAAUAACCAACAGCGGGAUCUGGAUACCCAUGUUGGCUCCCACAUGUUCCACGAUGAUCUCAUCGGAUGAACCACGAUGUCAAGGACUUAAUCAAUCCCGUAUACAAUUCCCUUUGUCUAUCGGUAUGAUACUCGCCCGAGAUUCGAUCGUCGGUAUCCCGAUACCUUGUUCAAUCUCGUUACCGGCAAGUAUCUUUACUCGUUCCAUAACACAUCAUCCCGUGAUCAACUCCUUGAUCACAUUGUGCACAUUAUGAUGAUGUCCUACCGAGUGGGCCCAGAGAUACCUCUCCGUCACACGGAGUGACAAAUCCCAGUCUCGAUUCGUGCCAACCCAACAGACACUUUCGGAGAUACCCGUAGUGUACCUUUAUAGCCACCCAGUUACGUUGUGACGUUUGGCACACCCAAAGCACUCCUACGGUAACCGGGAGUUGCACAAUCUCAUGGUCUAAGGAAAUAUUGACAUUAGAAAAGCUUUAGCAUACGAACUACAUGAUCUAGUGCUAUGCUUAGGAUUGGAUCUUGUCCAUCACAUCAUUCUCCUAAUGAUGUGAUCCCGUUAUCAACGACAUCCAAUGUCCAUGGUCAGGAAACCGUAACCAUCUAUUGAUCAACGAGCUAGUCAACUAGAGGCUUACUAGGGACAUGGUGUUGUCUAUGUAUCCACACAUGUAUCUGAGUUUCCUAUCAAUACAAUUCUAGCAUGGAUAAUAAACGAUUAUCAUGAACAAGGAAAUAUAAUAAUAAUCAAUUUAUUAUUGCCUCUAGGGCAUAUUUCCAACAGUCAGAUUGUUCGGUGUUGGGCAGUGCGGUUGAGUCCGGGCUGUUAUUGCCGGGUUCCCCUUCCCAUACUACGGACGGCUUGAAUAGCCUUUCCAAGAAGAUGUUGGGAGGGACUGCAUCGCGUUUUGCGCCGAUGCGUGCCAGGACAUCCGCCGCCUGAUUAUUUUCCCGGGCUAUAUGGUGAAAUUCGAGCCCUUCGAACUGAGCUGACAUUUUUAAGACGAUGUUGCGAUAAGCUGCCAUUUUUGGAUCCUUGGCAUCGAAGUCUCUGUUUAUUUGGGACAUUGCGAGGUUCAAAUCCCCUCGCACUUCUAGGCGUUGAAUACCCAUGGAUACUGCCAUCCAGAGACCAUGUAAGAGGGCCUCGUAUUCGGCUGCAUUGUUGGAGUCUGUGUACAUAAUCUGGAGUACAUAUUGAACUGUGUCUCCUGUGGGGGACGUCAAAACGACGCCAGCCCCCAGACCGGCCAACAUUUUGGAGCCGUCGAAAUGCAUGAUCUAGUUUUAAUAUGUGCCGUACUCUUCAGGGAGUUCGGCCUCCGUCCAUUCUGUGACGAAGUCAGCCAAAACUUGCGACUUGAUAGCUCGCCGUGGCUUAUAAGUUAUGUCGAACGGGAGGAGCUCGAUGGCCCAUUUCGCAAUCCGGCCCGUUGCGUUGCGGUUCUUUAUAAUAUCGUUUAGUGGUACUUCUGAGGCUACUAUUAUUGAACACUCUUGAAAGUAGUGUCGCAGCUUCCGGGAUGCCAUGAAUACCGCGUACGCAAUCUUUUGAUAAUGUGGGUACCUUGAUUUGCACGGAGUGAGGACAGUGGACACAUAAUAGACCGGCUUCUGAAGGGGGAAUUUGUGUCCGUCGUUUCUCGUUCGACGACGAGCACUGCGCUCAGAACCUGAUGGGUUGCUGCAAUGUAUAAUAGCAUUGGUUCGCCAAUGUUUGGCGCGGCCAGGACUGGGUUUGUUGCCAAUAUGGCUUUUAUUUCGUCGAGUCCGGCCGUGGCUGCGUCCGUCCACUCGAAGUGUUCGGUGCGCCUAAGGAGGCGGUAAAGGGGGAGUGCCUUUUCUCCCAAGUGGGAGAUAAAGCGGCUUAGAGCCGCCACACAUCCGGUUUACUUUUGUAUUUGUUUGAGGUCCUUUGGGAUAUUCAAUUGUGACAGAGCUCGGAUCUUGGCUGGAUUUGCUUCAAUUCCUCUACCGAAUACAAUGAAGCCCAAGAGCUUUCCGGCUGGAACGCCGAAAACGCAUUUUUCUGGGUUGAGCUUGAUGUCGUAUGUUCGGAGGUUAUCAAAUGUGAGCCUCAAGUCAUCUACUAGGGAUUCGACAUGUCUUGUUUUUACGACCACAUCAUCUACAUAUGCCUCCACUGUUUUGCUGAUCUGGUUUGCCAGACAUGUCUGAAUCAUGCGCUGAUAUGUUGUUUUGAGCCCGAAGGGCAUUGUGUUGAAGCAGAAUGGGCCGUAUGGUGUGAUCAAUGUCGUUGCGGCUUGGUCUGAUUCUGCCAUCUUGAUUUGAUGGUAGCCGGAAUAUGCGUCGAGCAAGCACAACGAAUCGUGUCCUGCAGUAGCGUCGAUAAUUUGAUCCAUGCGGGGGAGGGGAAAGGGAUCCUUUGGGCAAGCCUUAUUAAGGUCUUUAAAAUCAACGCACAAGUGCCAGGAUUUGUCCUUCUUUGGUACCAUCACUAGGUUUGCUAGCCAGUCCGGAUGUUUUAUAUCUCUGAUGGAUCCGGCCUCUAAUAGCUUGGCUAGCUCCUCUCCCAUGGCCUGUCUCUUAGGUUCGGAAAAACGCCGAAGAGCCUGUUUGACAGGUUUGAAUCCUUUAGGAUAUUUAAGCUGUGUUCGGCCAGCCUGCGUGGGAUUCCUGGCAUGUCUGAAGGGUGCCAGGCGAAAAUGUCCUAGUUCUCACGUAGGAACUCUCGCAGUGCGGCGUCUACAUCAGGGUUUAAUUGUGCACCGAUGGAAGCUGUUUUAUUGGGGUCCGUUGGAUGGACCUGGAAUUUGACUAUUUUGUCCGCUGGUUUAAAUGAGAUGGACUUGGAUCUUUUGUCGAGUAUCACAUCAUCCCUGUUCACCGUGGAGCGCAGCGCAGUCAGCUCCUCAGCCGCUAGGGCUUAGGAUAGUGCCUCAAGGGCCAGUGCGGCUGUCUUAUUUUAGGCGCGGAGUGCUAUGUCCAGAUCACUAGCGAGAGUGAUGAUUCCGUUCGGCCCGGGCAUCUUGAGUUUCAUGUACCCAUAAUGGGGUAUUGCUUGGAAGAUUGUGAACGCUUCCCGCCCUAGCAGAGCGUGGUAUCCGCUACUGAACGGGACCACUUGGAACGUGACCUCCUCGGACCUGUAAUUAUCCGGCGUGCCGAACACCACAUCUAGUGUGAUUUUUCCUGUACAGCACGCUUCCUGACUGGGGAUUAUUCCUCUAAAGGUUGUGCUGCUUCGCUCAAUGCGGUUCCAGUCUAUUUCUAGUUUUUGAAGGGUUUCCUCAUAAAUGAGGUUCAAUCCGCUGCCUCCAUCCAUGAGUACCUUGGUAAGGCGAAAGCCAUCCACUAUUAGACUGAGGACCAAUGUGGCUGGUGCUCGGGCUGUUCGGAAUUUAGGUUCAUCACUGGCAUUAAAAGUAAUAGCCGUGUCACUCCAUGGGUUUAUUGUUGCUACUUGGUAGACUUCGACAAGGCUGCGGAGUGUUCUUUUUCGCAUAUUAUUUGAUGCGAAAGUCUCGAAGACUGUUAAUACCGUACCGGUAUCCCUGGGGUGGCUUUCUAUGGCCUCCGGAAUUAGGAGAUCUUCACCAAUUUUGGCCACCUGCCGGAGUAUCCAACAUGCUCUAAGGCUGUGAGUUGGUGUGGCGCCCUCUGUACUAUGAAUUUUACAGGGUCGAUUAAGCCAUCCUUCCAAUAUGCUUCCAUGCCCUGUAGAGGGUUUUUGCUUUUUGGUGUUUAACCGGGUGUCUGGCGAAGAUGCACCCUUUUAUUUCGGACUGGGUUUGUAUUCAGGGCCGGAUUGUCCCAAAAUUUUAUUUCGGUUUUCCAGGCGCUAUCCAUCGCACAGUACUUUCGUACUAUGGACACCAAGUCAGCGAAGCAUGUAAUAUCACGGCGACUUAUGGCGUUGAGGAUUCCCUUGUCCAUGCAAUUAUUGCAGAAGAAUGAGAUUGCGUCUUCCUCGCGGCAGUCCUUGAUCCUGUUCAUAGCCAGGAGGAAUCUGGCCCAGUAAUGAUGUACUGUUUCUUUGGGUUUUUGCCUAAUUUGGGAUAGAUCGCUUAUGUUCGGGUGGGUGGGUGGAAUUAAAUCCGAAACCUGACCCGAUCUGAGACUCAGAGGCCAAGGAGAUUCCGAACUCGGAAGUUUGGAUUCUUGGAUGUUGUCCAAUGAGUCUAGCCCGUCGCCUGACUCUAAGUUCAGGUCUUGAGUGAUGUCCUCCCCUCCGCGGGUAUCCGACUUGGAGGGAUCGGGAAUCCGGACAUAACUAGUCCUUAAGAUAGAUGAAGGGUCACCGCACUGUCCCUCUACCAUAGCAAUGUGAUGGGUGACCUGGGGAGAGUUAAUCUCUCUUAGAUCGGGUUUAGGCCCAAUCUGGUCAUAAUCCGUGGCAACUCCCAGGGCGGCGACGCGAUCCAAGAGCUCGUUUAUGGAAGAGAGCUCCAUUGUAUCUAACUGCUCGGCGAGUUCCGAGAUGACAUGAAGACUGCUUUUGAUGACCCGAGAGGUCAUCGUCGGCGCAGCAGCCGAACAGGCGGUCAUAAGAAAACCGCCUAGCCGGAGAGUUUGGCCGACAGCCAAAGCUCCCUUAGCAACGGUUCCGUCUUUAAAGACGGGAUGAGGCAUCCUUCCUGAUGGCGACGGCACAGAGGAACUCUCAAUGUAAGCACCAAUAUCGGUGUCAAAACCGGCGGAUCUCGGGUAGGGGGUCCCGAACUGUGCGUCUAGGCGGAUGGUAACAGGACACAAGGGACACGAUGUUUACCCAGGUUCGGGCCCUCUCGAUGGAGGUAAAACCCUACUCCUGCUUGAUUAAUAUUGAUGAUAUGGGUAGUACAAGAGUAGAUAUACCACGAGAUCAAGGAGGCUAAACCCUAGAAGCUAGCCUAUGGUAUGAUUGUUGUUGUCCUACGGACUAAAACCCUUCGGUUUAUAUAGACACCGGAGAGGGUUAGGGUUACACAGAGUCGGUUACAAUGGUAGGAUAUCUACAUAUCCGUAUCGCCAAGCUUGCCUUCCACGCCAAGGAAAGUCCCUUCCGGACAUGGGACGAAGUCUUCAAUCUUGUAUCUUCAUAGUCCGGGAGUCCGGCUGAAGGUAUAGUCCGGCUAUCCAGACACCCCCUAAUCCAGGACUCCCUCACCCAGGUUUUCAGCCAAGAUUAUAACUAACCAUGUCGACAAUAACUCUUAAACAUUAUAGUAACUCUUAUGAGUAGAGGCCGCGGGAAAAAGCCUAGUAGUAGCGCGGAUAAAAGACUAGUAGUAGUGCGGGUGCCCGUGCUACUACUAUGGCGCUACAGCUAACUCGUAGUAGUAGCGCAGGUGCCACCCGUGCUACUAGUACGUGUGUUAGUAAUAGCGCGGAUUCUACACACGCUACUACUAACUAUGUGUAGCGCCUGUCUGUGACCCGCGCUACUACUAUUAAUUUCAAAAACCAAAAAAAAAUCUCGACCCCGUGCAUGUUGUCAAUGGUGUCAUCCAGCGACGACAGGGGUUGCCGGAGGUGUGGACGGGUAGUGGCAGACCAGAUCCGGCGAUGGCUGUUGGAGAUGGCCGGAUCCAGUGUAGAGCAAGACGACGGUGUGAGGAUCCUCUUCGCGGUCAAGGCGGAGAACUCCUGGUUGGCCAUGUCGACGACCUGUGCAGGCAUGGGCAUGGGAGGUGAGUAAAACCAAAGGGAGAGGGAGAGGAGAGGGAGAGGGAAAAAGAGAAACAAGGGAGAAAGGAAGGAGAUGGAGGGCGUAUCGGGGCUGCAUGGAGGCGAGGAGGAAGACGGGCGAGCUCUUGGACGCCAGCGAUGCGAGGAGGAAGACGUUGGGUGCCAUGGAGGAGGAGAUGUUCUUGGGCAGGAGCACCAUGGAGAGAGGGGGAAAGUGAGGGAGAGAGGAGGAAAGUGAGAGAGGGGGAAAGUGAGGGAGAGAGGAGGGAUUCGGCCGAGGAUAUGGAGAUUUCAUCUACCUCGUACUUAGUAGUAGCGAGGGGUAUAAAACCGCACUACUACUAUCAACAUAGUAGUAGCAUGGGUUUGUACCCCUCGCUACUACUAUGGCAUGUCCCGGGAGGGCAUGGUAGACACCGCUUAGUAGUAUCGAGGGUGAAAAACCCGCGCUAAUAGUAUCAACUUAGUAGUAGCGAGGGGUAAAAACCCACGCUACUAGUAAGUAGCAGUAGCGACGGUUAUAAACCCGCGCUACUAGUAAGCGUCUGCCUAUAAGCUUUUCCCUAGUAGUGGCAUAUCUAUGACAUAAUCAACUAGCGAGCAAUAAUAAGAUAUCUCAAACAACAACACGUUGUGAAAACAACCAUGAUAUAAUAUGACAAUAGUGGUAUCUCGCUAGCCCUUUCUAAGACCGCAAAACAUAAAUGCAGAGCACCUCCAAAGUUCAAGCAGCGACUAAACAUUGUAAUUCAUGGUAGAAAAGAUCUAGUCUUGAUGCACCCAACAUUAGCAACACAUAGUGCAUCAGCAUGACAACAGUGCUCUUUGGAUUUGGCACUUAUUUUAGAAGGUGAUGACACAACAUAAAAGUAAAUAGAUAGUCCCUUCGCAGAGGGAAGCAGUGAUUUGCAGCUGUGCCAGAGCUCAAAAUUUUAAAACAGAGGUAAAUGAAAUUUUGGGAAAUUGAUACGUAUCCAAUGUAUCUAUAAUUUUUUAUUGUUCCAUGCUAUAUUAUAUUAUGUUUUGGAUGUUUAAUAGGCUUAUUUAUACACUUUUAUAUUAUUUUUGGGACUAACCUAUUAACCGGAGGCCCAGCACAAAUUGCUGUUUUUGUUCCUACUUCAGUGUUUCGCAAAAAAAAGAAUAUCAAAUGGAGUGCAAACGGAAUGAAACCUUCGGGAACAUGAUUUUUGAAACAAAUGUGAUCCAGAGGACUUGGAGUCCAUGUCAAGCAGUCAACGAGGAGGGCACGAGGCAGGGGGCGCUCCUACCUCCCCCUAGGCGCGCCCUCCACCCUCAUGGGGCCCACGUUGCUCCACCGGCGUACUUCUUCCUCCUAUAUAUACCUACGUACCCCCAAACCAUCAGGGGCAUCCACGAAAACCUAAUUCCACCGCCGCAACCUUCUGUACACGUGAGAUCCCAUCUUGGGGCCUUUUCCGGCAUCCUGCCGGAGGGGGCAUUGAUCACGGAGGGCUUCUACAUCAACACCAUAGCCACUCCGAUGAUGUGUGAGUAGUUUACCUUAGACUUUUGGGUCCAUAGUUAUUAGCUAGAUGGCUUCUUCUCUCUCUUUGGAUCUCAAUACAAAGUUCUCCACGAUUCUCGUGGAGAUCUAUUCGAUGUAAUCUUCUUUUGCGGUGUGUUUGUCGGGACCGAUGAAUUAUGGAUUUAUGAUCAAGUUUAUCUAUGAACAAUAUUUGAAUAUCCUCUGAAUUCUUUUAUGUAUGAUUGGUUAUCUUUGCAAGUCUCUUCGAAUUAUCAGUUUGGUUUGGCCUACUAGAUUGAUCUUUCUUGCAACGGGAGAAGUGCCUAGCUUUGAGUUCAAUCUUGUGGUGUCGUUUCCCAGUGACAGCAGGGGCAGCAAGGCACGUAUUGUAUUGUUGCCAUCGAGGAUAACAAGAUGGGGUUUAUAUCAUAUUGCAUGAGUUUAUCUCUCUACAUCAUGUCAUCUUGCUUAAAGCGUUACUCUGUUCUUAUGAACUUAAUACUCUAGAUGCAUGUUGGAUAGCGAUCGAUGUGUGGAGUAAUAGUAGUAGAUGCAGGCAGGAGUCGGUCUACUUGUCACGGACAUGAUGCCUAUAUACAUGAUCAUACCUAGAUAUUCUCAUAACUAUGCUCAAUUCUAUCAAUUGCUCGACAGUAAUUUGUUCACCCACCGUAAUACUUAUGCUUUUGAGAGAAGCCACUAAUGAAACAUAUGGCCCCCGGGUCUAUUUUCCAUCAUAUUAAUCUUCCAACACAUAGCCUUUUCUAUUGCCCUUUUUAUUUUACUUUGCAUCUCUAUUUCUCUUUAUCAUAGAAAUACUAAAAAUAUUAUCUUAUCAUAUCUAUCAGAUCUCACUCUCGUUAGUGACCGUGAAGGGAUUGACAACCCCUUUAUCGCGUUGGUUGCGAGGUUCUUAUUUGUUUUGUGUAGGUGCGUGGGACUUGAGCGUGGCCUCCUACUGGAUUGAUACCUUUGUUCUCAAAACUGAGGGAAAUACUUACGCUACUUUGUUACAUCACCCUUUCCUCUUCAAGGCAAAAAACAACGCAAUGCUCAAGAGGUAGCAAGAAAGAUUUCUGGCGCCGUUGCCGGGGAGUUUACGCAAAAGUCAACAUACCAAGUACCCAUCACAAACUCUUAUCCCUUGCAUUACAUUAUUUGCCAUUUGCCUCUCGUUUUCCUCUCCCUCGCUUCACCCUUGCCGUUUUAUUCGCCCUCUUUUCCGCUCGCCUUUCCUUCGCCAUGUCGGAACCAAAAAGAGUUGGGGGUUCUCUCCCGAGUUUUAGUACUUUGGACGAUCCUUCUAUUCUAUCUAAACUCAUAAAUAAUGUCAUGGUAAAACCUGCCGGAGUUGUCAAUGAGAGUCUUAAUAAUUUUGAUGAAGAUGAUUCCGGAAUUUUUCGUUAUUUACUCGAUGAAUCUUUGAAAGAUGCUUGGGAUAGACUGUUAAGGAUCCGGGCUAACUAUGUGCCCCAAUACCAAAUUGUAGUUUACUUGAAGAGCUUUUAUGUUGCCCUACCUUCUUCGUUUAAGCAUGUCUUAGAUUCUAUAUUUGAAGAAGGCUUUCUUGAAGGGGAUGCCGUAGAUACUUAUGAAAAGAUGAAGACCAUAUUCGGGCACCCCAUGAAUGAGAAAAUUGAAUCUACAUCUCUUUUGCUCUCCAGUCCUUGGUUCAUGUAAAUCUGAAUCUAGCCGGCACUACCCCUUCACAAGCUGUUGCAUAGUCUUCAGCGAGGUGCGGCAUAACUUCCGUGUGAGGGGAAAUGAACUUCUCCAUGAAUACCUUCUCUCUCACCUUGAAAGCGGUAUAGUAGUAGCCUGGGUUGCACUUGAGCAAUCCAUUUUCCAUGAGAAACUUUACAACGUAGUACCUGGGUUUCAUCCAGCCCUCCAGCUUGUAAUUGAUAAUUAUUGACCGUUGAGCAACGUAGGUAGGUUCCAACCUGUUAGACUAUGUAUAGCUUCUGUACCUAUGUACGUAUAUGGUACAUAUUGUAACACAACCAUUAUAUAUAAUGAGAUAAGCCACCCCUAGAGGGUUGUGCUGGUUCCCCAAAACUUAUUGUCUUACAUGGUAUCACGCUAGGUUACGAUCGCUUCCGCUUCUAAACCCUAAUACCCGCACCGCCGCCGCAGCCGCCGCCGCCUUCACCGCCGCCGCCGCGCCACCGAUCGCGCCGCCGCCAUGUCGAGCGCUGCCACCACCGGUUCCACUGCUGCGGGCUUCCUCCCGGCCUCUCUUGCGGCUCUGCUCAACCUCCCGCUCGAUGCCGUCUCUGUUCCGGCUCCGAUCGGGACAAGGAGCAUCGGCUCCGUCUUCUCCAUGCCGCCGGCGCCCUCGCUUGGGCGUGACCUCGUGGUCCACACCGCGGCGCCGCCGUCCGCUGCGGACUCCGCAGGCAUCGUCCCGCCGCUCCUGCCGCAAGCGGAUCACACUGCCCCGCUGGCGGGGUUGGCGGCGUCCGCCCCGGCCGCGGGCCUUGCGGCGUCCGCACCGGCCGCGAGCUUUGCGGCGCCCGCCCUGGCUGCGGUCCCGCCUCCUCCCGCAUCGGCUUCGGUGCCUCCAGCUGCCUCCAUGGUGUUUGCACCCCAGGCAGCCUCCUCGAUGGGAUUGUCUUCGCCGCUGCCGUUUCACUUCGGUCAUCUCAUCACCAUCAAGCUCUCCGCCGACAACUACAUCUUCUGGCGUGCGCAGGUUCUCCCGCUCUUGGGGAGUCACUACCUGCUAGGCUACAUCGACGGAUCGCUUCCCUGCCCACCCGCGCUGGUAGACAGCAUGCACGGUCCGGUCUACAAUCCGGCCCAUCGCGUCUGGACGGGGCAGGACCAGGCGAACCUCUCCUCCAUCCAGGGGUCGCUCUCGCCGGCAGUUGUCGGCCUUGUUGUCUUCGCGAAGACGUCUCAUGAGGCCUGGACCAUCCUUGAGCACACCUUUGCAGCGCAGUCCCAGGCUCGUGUCUCUGCACUCCGUCGUCAGCUUGGAGAGUGUCAGAAGCUUGACUCCACUGCCACUGAGUUCUACAACAAGGUCAAGGGCCUCGCCGACACAUUGGCCUCCAUUGGACAGCCCCUCACCGACUCCGAGUUCAACUCGUUUAUUGUCAAUGGUCUUGAUGAGGAGUAUGAUGCCUUAGUCGAGAUCAUCAACGAGCGGGGCAACUCGACACCCAUGCUGGCACACGAGGUUUUCUCUCGGCUCCUUCUCACUGAGCAACGGGUCGAGACUCGCCGCACCAGGGGCACUGGCUCCCUCUCGGCCAACGCCGCCACCAAGGGUGGCCGCUCUUCUUCAUCACCCCGGUCUCCCUUGGGGCUGCCACCGUCGCCCUCCUCGGCCCCCCACCUACUGCGACCUUACCGGGGGCUGGCGUUCCACGUGUGUGUCAGCUUUGUGGCCGCGAUGGGCACUGGGCCUCCAAGUGUCAUAAGCGCUUCCAGCGAAGCUUCCUUGGUCUUGGCAAUGACGGCAAAGAUACACGCAACAAUGCCCGUCAGGUCGCCAUGGCUGAUCGUCCCGCGCCGCAGAAGCAACAGGGACACACUCAGUCCUACUCCAUCGAUCCACACUGGUACAUGGACUCUGGGGCGAUAGAGCAUCUAACCAGCGAGAUGGGGAAGCUUCACACUCGUGAACCCUAUCAUGGCUCCGACAAGAUCCACACCGCCAAUGGAGCAGGUAUGCACAUCUCUCAUAUUGGUCAAGCAUCUCUUCUCACUAGACAUGCCAAUAGGAGUCUUCAGCUUCGCAAUGUUCUUCGAGUUCCAUCUGUGACCCGUAAUCUUCUUUCAGUUCCUAAACUCACACGUGAUAAUAAUGUGCUUUGUGAAUUUCACCCUUUUGAUCUUUUUAUUAAGGAUCGGGGCACGAGGGACAUUCUUCUUAGUGGGCGGUUGUGCCAGGGCCUCUACCGUCUGGAGCAUCCUGGUGUCGCUCGUGUUUUCAGUGGAGUUCGGGUCUCUCCGUCACAGUGGCAUGCUCGUCUUGGUCACCCGGCCACACCUAUUGUCCGUCAUAUUUUGCGUCGUCAUGAGCUUCCUAGUUUGUCUAGUCAUAAAGAUGUAGCAGUGUGUGAUGCUUGUCAGCAGGGGAAGAGUCAUCAACUUCCUUUUUCGGAGUCCAGUCGUGAGGUGAAACAUCCUUUAGAACUUGUGUUUUCAGAUGUAUGGGGUCCUGCUCAGACUUCUGUCAGUGGUCAUAAUUACUAUAUCAGUAGUCGCUUUACCUGGCUUUACCUUAUUAAACGCAAAUCUGAUGUGUUUGAUAUUUUUGUUCAGUUUCAAAAACAUGUUGAACGUCUUCUCAAGCACAAAAUUGUUCAUGUCCAGUCAGACUGGGGGGGCGAGUAUCGCAACCUCAACUCUUUCUUUCAGUCGCUUGGGAUAGCUCAUCGUUUAGCAUGUCCACAUACACAUCAGCAGAAUGGUUCAGUCGAACGUAAGCAUCGUCAUAUUGUUGAAGCUGGUCUUACUCUUUUGGCCCAUGCAUCUAUUCCGUUUCGGUUUUGGAGUGAUGCUUUCACCAUUGCAUGCUUUCUCAUCAACCAUACUCCUACUCGUGUUUUAAACAUGAAGACUCCCAUUGAGGUUCUCCUUAAUGAACAACCUGAUUAUACCUUUCUCAAGGUAUUUGGGUGUGCUUGCUGGCCGCAUCUUCGUCCAUAUAACAAGCGCAAGCUUGAGUUUCGUUCUAAGAAGUGUGUUUUUCUUGGCUAUAGCUCUCUUCAUAAAAGUUACAAAUGUCUUCAUGUUCCCACUAAUCGUGUCUAUAUAUCUCGGGACGUCGUGUUUGAUGAGCAUGUUUUUCCCUUUGCCAACCUUCCUGUGUCCACUGUCGAACCACCAUCCCUGCAUUCAUCCUCUGUUGCUUCUGACCAAUUUGAUGAUGUUGCAUACUCUCCUUUGCUGUUACCUAACCAUCUCCACUGCUCGGUCCGUUUCGCCAGCGGCCGCCGAGUCGCCCGCGACUCGGCCCGUCACGCCGUCUUCGCCUGCGGCUCGGCCCGUCACGCCGUCUUCGCCCGCGGCUCGGGUCCUCAUGUCGCCUUCAUCAGCGGAUCGGCCUGCGACACCGGCCGCGCCACGGCCCACUAUGCCGAGCUCGCCAUCGGCCCGGUCUGUGAUGCCGGAGUCGCCAGCUGCUUCGUCUGCUCUGCCGGUUUCGCCGGUGGGUCGGCCUUCUUCGCCAACCGAGUCCGAGGCUACCGUGACUGGCUCCUCGUCACCGGCUGACUCGUCAACGUCGCCGUCCUCCAGCCCGUUGCAGGCUGCUCCGUCGACCUCGGUGGUUCCUGUGUCCCGACCACAUACAUGCAGUCGCAGUGGCAUUUUCAAACCUAAGGAACGUAAGGAUGGUACGGUUGCUUGGUUGGCUGCUUGUUUGGCUGCUGCUGUUGCGGAUCCAUCUUCUGAGCCUCGCUCAUAUCAGGCUGCCCUGCGCAUUCCACAUUGGCGAGAGGCUAUGGAGCAGGAGUUUCAUGCUCUUCUUCGUAACAAGACAUGGACUCUCGUUCCUCCACCACCACGGGUAAAUGUUAUUGAAUCAAAAUGGGUAUUCAAAGUGAAGAAGCAUUCGGAUGGAUCUAUUGAGCGUUACAAAGCGCGACUUGUUGCUCGCGGUUUUCGGCAGCGUCAUGGUCUUGACUAUGAGGACACCUUCAGUCCUGUCGUCAAGCCUACCACUAUUCGACUUCUUCUCUCCAUUGUUGUUUCUCGUGGUUGGUCACUUCGUCAACUUGAUGUGCAGAAUGCUUUUCUACAUGGAUUUUUGGAGGAAGAGGUUUAUAUGAAACAGCCGCCUGGUUUCUCUGAUCCUGAUCGUCCUGACUAUAUCUGUCGUCUUUCCAAAGCACUAUAUGGUUUGAAGCAAGCUCCUCGUGCCUGGCAUGCCUGCCUUGCCUCUGCCCUUCGUGCUCAUGGGUUUGUGCCGUCUACUGCUGACACUUCGUUAUUUCUUCUACAGAAGCCAGAAGUCACUAUGUAUCUUUUGGUAUAUGUCGAUGAUAUUAUCCUUGUCAGCUCUUCUCAGUAUGAUGCUGAUGCUCUUGUCUGCUCUCUUGGUGCUGAUUUUGCGGUCAAAGAUCUUGGGAAGCUUCACUACUUUCUUGGAGUUGAGGUCACUUCUCGUGCUACUGGUCUUGUCCUUACGCAGAAGAAGUACUCCUUGGAGUUGUUACAGAGAGCUGGCAUGCUGAAGUGCAAACCGACCACCACACCCAUGUCGUCUACCGACAAGAUAACAGCUGCUGAUGGUGAGCUUUUGUCUCCUGCGGAUGCCACAGAGUACAGGAGCAUUGUUGGUGGACUUCAGUACUUGACGAUCACGAGACCAGAUAUCUCUUAUGCUGUUAACAGGGUUUGUCAGUAUCUUCAGGCUCCCAGAGAUACUCAUUGGGCUGCUGUUAAACGCAUUCUUCGUUAUGUUCAGUUCAUCCUGACAUUUGGUAUGCAUAUUCGGCCGACUUCCUCUCGGGUCCUUUCGGCCUUCUCUGAUGUAGAUUGGGCUGGUAGCCCAGAUGACAGACGAUCCACGGGGGGUUAUGCAGUAUUCUUUGGCUCUAAUUUGAUCGCCUGGAGUGCUCGGAAACAAGCUACUGUGUCACGUAGCAGUACUGAAGCUGAGUACAAGGCUGUGGCUAAUGCUACUGCAGAGAUUAUUUGGGUGCAGUCUUUGCUUCAGGAGUUGGGUUUGUCUCAACCACAGCCUCCUAUUCUUUGGUGUGAUAACAUCGGUGCUACAUACCUUUCUGCAAAUCCAGUAUUUCAUGCCCGAAUGAAACACAUUGAAGUUGACUAUCACUUUGUACGGGAACGUGUAUCACAGAAGCAACUCCAGAUCAAGUUUAUCUCAUCUAAGGAUCAACUUGCAGACAUCUUCACUAAGCCUUUACCGCUGCCACAGUUUGAGGCUUGUAGGCGCAAUCUUACCCUUCUCAGUUCUUUAGAAAGUGGCUAAGAUUGAGGGAGGGUGUUAGACUAUGUAUAGCUUCUGUACCUAUGUACGUAUAUGGUACAUAUUGUAACACAACCAUUAUAUAUAAUGAGAUAAGCCACCCCUAAAGGGUUGUGCUGAUUCCCCAAAACUUAUUGUCUUACACAACCCCACCUCAGAGAUGAGGAAAUCAGACCUGCGCUGCAGUAAUUCCUUUGACUUCCUCAGCAGACACGGAGCGUUACACACAACAAUGCUCACCUCAGCGUCUGACCACCUGAACAUCUUCUUCAAGUAGGCCACAUUGGCGGCGAUCUUCUCCUCGCUGAGGAAUCUGACAGUAUCCAGCGUGUGCCUGAACAUCCUGAGCCACGAGGCAUGCCAAGGCCUUCGGCGCAUGCCACCAUCGCCCUGACGUGUUCUGGCUUGUUGCUCAGGACACCCCGCGCGCGGAGGGACAACUUGGUGAUAUCGCAAUCAUCUAGCCCGCAUUGCCGUAGGAGCGCGACGUUGGGUUUGACCAUCUCCUCGAUGCUGUGUUUUGGUUUUCGGUUUGCGUUUUUUCUCGCCCCUGAACGAGAUGGCCGAAAUUCGGCCAUUUCAAAAAUCUCGGUAAAAUCUCGGACGAAAUUACAAAACCAAAAUUUGAAUUUUAAACGAAAUUUGACUAAAAAUUGGCCGAAAUUCGGCCGAAUUUUUUGAAAACAAGCAGAGCAAAUGUACAGCAGUCGAACAACACUGAGGAGUACAUGUAUGCGUUACCAAACUAGCUUUGGGGAUUAAUAACUCCAAAAGAAAAGAUUGAAACAAGGAUACAGAGAGGUGAUCCAGAGUUGAGGAGUUCCCGAUGGAUUCAGCCGCAGCCCGCAGCCGGCAGAGGUCAGCAGCAGGGGCCGGUCGUAGGAACGGCGAGAACGGGGUAGGAGCCGCAUGCUCGAGCGGGGAGGCAGGUGCCGACGAGCGGAGGAGCCGCGUAUUGGCGCAUCGCCGCCGCCGCAAACACAGGGGCCGCAGGGGAUCGUGGUUAGUUUAGGGUUCACGAGUUCGGUUCGAUGCUUUUAAUCCAGGCAAACCGUGGGGAGGCCCAGAAGUUGGACUGGGCCAGAAAAAAGUUUCAAUCUGGGCCGAAAGUUUUGGCCGGCACAGACAUUUACCGGGUCGAGGCGAGAUGACCGAAAUUCGGCCGAAAAUUGUUUUUUUCGGCCGAAAAUCAAAACACAGCCUCGAUGUCAGCGCCGGCGAGGUAGCCUUGCUUGAGCACCCGGAAGAGGUUCUCCGAGGAGCCGAAUAGGAGCAGGUAGUACCGCAAAUUGGAAACAAUGGACCUGGAACAGAAGUGGGCGAAGGAGAGCGCGACGAGGCGCACGAUCUCAGUACGCGAGAGGCCGAGGCCGGUGAGCCCACGACGACGGGGGCUAGAGUUUUCUCUACUUUGGCGCAGAGGAACAACGGGUCCUUGGCGACGAGGGCGGCGACGUCGGUGCCGGAGAGGCCGAGGCCGGCGAGGAAGGAAAGGACGGCGUCGGGCUUGGACGAGGACUUGAGGUGGGAGAGCUUGGCGGAGGCCUUGAGUGCCUGGGGUCGGGUGAGGCCGAAGGUGGAGACGAGGUAGUCGUCGACGACGAAGCUAGGGUUUGGGGAAACGCCGGGCGCGGCGGCCGCGGAGAGGGGGCGGUGGAGAGGGGGGCCUGAGAGGUGGCGGGGGAAGAGAGGAGCCGCACGAGGAUGCAGCCACGGAGGCGGAGCAUGGCGGCGGCGGCGGCGGAGAGAUUGAUUCCCUAUGGAGGCGGGUGCGAAUGGGAUGGUGCUUCGGAGGCGGGGAUGCGGCGCCCCGGCGAGGCAGGUGAGGAACGGAGGAAGAGAACAGGAGGAGAGAUCGAAGAGGAUGGCACUUCGGCGGCGGCGGCGGCGCCGCCGAAGAGAUUUUCCGGUCCGCUGUGAGUGGAGAGGAAAAAUGGGAAAUGGCAGGUGCGAUGCGAAUGGAGGCUCCGCAAAUUGCAAUAUCACUGAAUCCCAGGGGUCUUUACGUCUUUCAAAAAUACAAAAUACAUUUAAAAAAACAUACAUAAUACAUUGAGCCUCAUGGAAACUUUCAUAUACACAUGGAAAAUAGAUAUCCCCUCCGUUUAAUAAUGUAGUGCAUAUAGAUUUUUGAAAGUCGGACUUUGCAAAUUAUGAUCAAAUUUAUAAAGCGAACUACUUAUACCUACAUUAUCAAAUAUAUAAAAUAUGAACCUACGUCUUAUGAUGAAUCUAAUGAUAUAUGCUUGACAUUCUAGAUGUAAAUGUUUUUCUUCACAAACUUGGUCAAAUUUUGUUAGAUUUGACUUUUCAAAAAAUCUACAUGCAAUCAUUAUGCAAUCGGUAUUAUAAGGAAAAUGACUUUGAGCGAUAAGAUUAUAUCACAAAAUAAGCUAUUAUACGACUUGUACUUAUCCUAUGAUUUUUUUCUGUAGGUAUAGUACUUCAUCCGUUUUUAUUUACUUUGCAUAUUAGAGUUGACUGAAGUCAAACUUUGUAAAGUUUGACCAAGUUUAUAGAAAAGAAUAUAAAUAUUUACCCUAACAAACGAAAAUCUGCAUCUGAGCCCGGGCUCAGAUGUUCCCGCUCAGAAAAAAAUUCAAAACAAAUUCUAGAAAAAUUCAAAUAAAUCCAAUUUUUUGUGUGGUAGAUAAUUUGAUGCGUGAGGCCCGCUUCAAAUUUCAACUCAUUUGGAUAUCUGAGGAGCUCUCGGCAAAAAAGACAAAUCGGAUCAAAACAGUUCGUGAACAAUAAACUUUUUUACAGACCCGAUUUUGUCUUUUUGCAGAGAGCUGCUCAAAUGUCCAAACGAGUUGAAAUUUGCAGCAAACCUCACGCAUCAAAUUAUCUAUCACACAAAAAAUGGAAUUUUUUUGAUUUUUUCUAGUAUUUGUUUUGAUUUUUUUCGUCGGAGCGAGUGCAGUUGAGCCCGGGAGCCAAAUUGGCUUAUAUGAUGUGAAAGUAUGUUCAAUAAUGAAUGUAAUGGUAUUGAUUUGUUAUUGUACAUGUUAAUAUUUUUGACUAUAAACUUCGUCAAAAUUUAUAAAGCUUGACUUUGACCAAAACUAAUAUGCGGAAUAAAUAAAAACGGAGGGAGUAAAUGGCUAUGUUUUUUUUUGUACGUAGUAAAUGGUUACUUUUUCUGAUUUUUUUUAAAUGGUUAUGCUUGCUAACCAAUCCAAUUCAAAUUAUAUGUCGCUCAAACGGAUGUAUCUAAUUAAUAUGGAUCGGAUGGAGCAGAAAAGUUCAUAUGGAUAUAUAUUUUCUCAAAACUUGAAAGUAUGAUUUCUACAAGUAAAAAAAAAUCAUAUGUGAACUAUGUUUGUUUUUAGCAUUUUGUGUGCGUUCAUGUUUCUUUUUCUCUCUCUUCAUUCUAGCCUCUUUUCCUCCACCUCACUCUGUUCUCACAUUGACAUUGUUGCCUUUUUCAGUGGACUCCUACCUAUCUUUUCUAACUUUUGCAAGGUGAGAAUUGAGAAGGUUAUUAUUCUUUAGUUUUAUGUGUAUAGCUAUCCUAGAGUCGAGAUCAAUUGCAUCGUGUCCACUUAUCCUCUAUAACACUAAGCUUCCUAGUUUUAAAAAGCCCACACUCAAUUAAGGUCUCCAAUUAGAAUUGGAUCAUCCGAUUUUGAACGGGUCAACAAUUUCUCAAAGCUUCAUAAUCCAAUUUUUUUAUACUAUACCAUAUGCUUCCUAAUUUUUAAGGCCUCACAAUUAAUUAAGAUAUUCAAUAUAGAUUGAUCAUCCAAUUUUGACUGGGUCAACAAUUUCUCAACCUCUCCAAUUGAAUUCUUUUAAUUCACUAUAUUCCAAAAUUUUGAAUCUCUUUCAUUCAAUUGAGGUAUUCAAUUUUGAUUUGGUUGAAGAUUUUGAGUGGGCCAAUGAUUUUCAAAUCAAUCAGCUGCAACUGACCUAUAAAAACAUAUCAAUCCCAUGCACCCUUCCACCACAUAGAAAAAAGAAACGUCACCAUGUGAUAUUGUAGUAUCAAUAUAGUACAUGCAACCACCAACGCAGAAAUUUUUCCACAUAAAUAUAGGUUGGUUAGCGGAUGACACAGUCAUCUCCCCACCCGCCUAACUUAAUAUUCCAUCAGUUAUAAAAUAUGAAGGGUAUUAAUUUUGUAGAAAGUAAAACUUCUUUAACUUUGACCAAGUUCAGAGCAAAAAUAUCAACAUCCACAAUAUUAAACAAAAAAAGUAUGGAAAUUCAUUUCGUGAUGAAUCUAAAAAUACUGAUUUAAUCUUAUGAAUUUUGAUAUAUUUCUCUCAAAUUUGAAAAAACUUAAAAGGUUUGGCUUUUCAAAAAAAUACACCUUAUAUUAUGAAACAGAGUGAUUAGUUUCUUAAGAUACCCAAUAACAUGAACGGCGCAGCAAAGCGCGCAGAACCCUUCUAGUUAGUAGUAUAUCUAAGAACAAUUAGCAUCCCAUUGAUGAUCGAUAAACCUUCUUAGUCCAGCUAGUGGUUGGUUGUCUAGAGUAUAGCUGGCCAAAUGGGCCGGUUUUUUCGGGUCGGCCCGUGAGCACGCCGGCACGGCCCACCUUGGGCCAGGCACGGCACGGGCCAAACGAGCCAGGCCCAGCACGCGGCACGCCCUAGGCCGUGCCUGGGCUGGAGGCUGGGCAUGCGGGCCGGCACGGCACGGCCCGAUUAUGUUUUUUAUAUUUGUUAUACAUUUAUAUAUGAUCCAACAUGUAAAAAUAAGCUAAAAACGCUCAAUGCGUCAAAUAAUAGGCUAAAAAUAUGCGGCCCACCGUGCUAAAUGGGCCAACGUGCCGGCUCGUUUACUAACGGGCCGUGCCUGGGCCUGGGGGCGCAGCACGCGGGCCGGCACGGCACGGCACGUAUAGUAAUCGUGCCCUGGCGGACCGUGCCGGACCAGGCACGAUUAUGAUGGGCCGGGCCAUGCCGUGCCGGGCCAGCCCGUUUGGCUAGGUAUGGUCUAGAGAUCUAUAUGGAGUCAGUUGAGAUGGGAUGGUCAGCCAAGUGGGUUGAUCAAUGCUCCUCUUAAAAUUCGAAGCCUAAAGUAGAUGUGCUACUCGAGAAAUAAAAAGACCAACGUAGACCGUACCAACAUCUAAUAUUUGACGUCACAUUUAAAUUUGAUACUAUUCAUACCCAUAAUUGUCCCUUUGCUCAUCGAAUUAUGCAUCUUAUAUAAAUGUUGUAAAUGAUCAAUUUUUAUAAUAAUUUUAGGGUUGUAGUUCGGUGCAUAGGUAGCUCAGAGGAACCAUAGUCAUCGCUUCCUCUCCAAAAAAGCUUAGGGUUCCUAUGCCUCCCGCUGGCGCAGCUGCCGGUCCACCUCGUCUCCGGUGGCCCUAGGGUCAUGGGGACACGGUGAAUCUCAUCCCUUACCAGAGGGCUUCGUUUUUAGACGUUUCUUUGAAUUUUGUUAGGGUUGUGUCUUGCUAAUUAAGGAGGGCAAGACAACGACGGCUUCCUGAAGAUUGAAUAAGAUUCUCCCCGCCUAGCCCCCGUCUCGAUGGCGCAUCUAACAUCGUCGAAGAGUGUGUGGAGGUGUAUCUCCGCCAGAUCUCGCAGGAUUCGGUAGGUGGUUUGUCUUUGGUGGAUCUACUCGGACCCGGUCUUCGUUCGUCUACGUUUGUGUGUCGCUAGAUUGGAUCCUUCCGAUCUAUGGGUCUCUUCAUCGGCGGGGGUUGCUAUUCUAGUGCGCUGGUCCUACGAGGCCUUAGCACGACAAGUUCCCGACUGUGUACUACAAUAAGUUCUGCCCGGCUCCGGGGAGGGAAGGGCGAUGACGACGGUGCGUCUUCGGCUCGUUUUAAUGCUUGUAGUCUUUGCUAGAUGGUCUAAGGAUGAAUGUGAUUUUUAUUAUUCCUAUUGUUCAUUGUAUUGUCAUGAUUGAAAAUGAAUAUAUCAAAUGAUUUCUCAUAGAAAAGAAGCUCAUAAGAACCAUUAAAAGGACAAUCGUGUGGUCUCCCUAGACUUUUUUUUAGAAAAGGAGGAAGACCCCCGGCCUCUGCAUCUGAGCGAUGCAUACAACCACUUUAUUAAUUAUUCUCAAAAGACCUUACAAAGAAAUACAACAAUAAGUCUGAAGCCAUCAUCUAGGCAACAUCUGUUGCUACUCCUAUUCAUUUGAUGAAGGGAUGCUGAUAGUCUGGGCUUAAUACCAAACAGACCUCGCAGCCAAACCUAACAUCUAAGACCUGAGUUCCCAUCCAGGACGCCUGCCGGGUAUGGGUCACCCACCGGUCCGGCACACUCCUCAACAUGGACGCCUGCCGGGUAUGAGGCCGCCGCAGCCACCUGCCACCAAUCCAUCUUCAGAGAUGUAGUGUUGCAUCUACCUUGUCCGGUCUAGCUGCCGUCGACGCCACCACGAUGCCAGACAACGCCACCAUCCUGCGCUCGUCCAUCAACACACGCCCAGCAGCAAGAUCCCGCUGCUCUAUGCCCCUGAGACCCGCCAUUGUCGACGUAUCAGAUGCAACGCCGCUCCUCCUUCGCGAACACCACCUUCUACCACUGGUCCUAUCCCCUCCACCUGUAGAUCCUCUGAACUCCCAACCGAGCCCUAGUGCCCCUGACGACACCUCCAGGAAGGUCACGACGCAAAAAGCGCCGCUGCCGCCAGAUCCGAAAAGGAUUGAAGGUUUUCACCCGGCCGGGGAUCGGGGUGGAUAGAUUGGGCCCUCAGCUGCGCCUUCAUGAAGGAAAGCGGCACCCAUGAGCGUCGCCGCCGCCGGGCCGGCUAGACUGGCCAAGGUUUUCCCCGGACCCAAAGUACACCACCAGGGCUGACCACCACCGGAGCCUGCAGCCGUAAACCACCAGGACGACGACAGAGGCAGCAGGAGAAAGGGGAACCAUUAAAAGGACAAUCGUGUGGUCUCCCUAGAUGGUCCUUGGAGGGAGCGAUGCAAUUUCAUUUCCUUUUUAUUGCAUUCUCAUGGAUCUAUGGGAUACACAGAUUUGGAAUAGCCAUGCGUUAUAUAGGUUUGGAAAAGAUGAAUGGGCAGGACAAAGCCCAUCAAGGUCCACAGUUGGACAUGGUAUUUUUCUCUUCCCUGAUCUUGUGUGGUUGUUACAUUACAACGAGGACUAGAUGCAUUCAUGAACCUGAGGAGACUAUAUACGGUGAUUAUAUCGUGGCUAUCAUAUUUACCUAUUUUACAAAGAAUGAUCGGAUAUAAUUUACUGGUACAAUCCAUUGUGUGCCUUUCACGCUUCCGUCAGUUUAAUUUCCUCACAUUUUAAGUAGUCUUGUGAAGUUGUGAUCAGGUAGCUCGCAAUCUGAAUUUCUGUAAUGAAUUUUUUUUGGUCCAACGAGUAAAACGUAGACUUGGUGACCCUCAAAAGGGAUGAUAUUUUACAUAACGAGUAAAUCAUGAUGUCCUUAGAUAUUUCUUAUGAGUAUUUCUUCUUUUCUGCGGAAAAGUUUCUUGUCUUCCGAACUCUUGGAUGUGGGCAGAACUCUUGAUGAGCCGAGGCACCCGCGGCAUGCCAUUGUGAGUCAAGUUUGCCAUUGUUUGAUGGGAAGUUUUCAAGUGCUACAUGUAGAAGGACGCUAUAGUGGCUGCAAUCUUGCUGCUAAGUGACACGUACUGUCACCCUGUUUCUAAUGAAAAAAACUGAAGAACAAUGACUCAUUUAAACAUUGUUCAAUUUUGUGGUUCAUGAGCCUUUUCUUCAAAGUUUACUUAAAAGUUGGGUUAUUAGGUAAAAAAUGGUUCCUUUCCUUUUGUGCUUGCAAUUUAUUGUCCUGACAAAAACACUUUUUAUUGCAGUGCUAAGAAAAUGCGUCUACUACUUGACUGAACUAAAUACUCUUGAUAGCAAACCCUCUCUGGGCAUAUUCGUAGAUUCAAGGUGAGGAGACAUGCCAGCAUACAGACCAGCAACAUACAUGGCACAUGUACGACGUUCUAACAAGAGCAUAAAGUUGAUUGAUUCUUGAUAGCAUCACCUGAAUAUAUCACUCACGGAUUCAUGAAUGUUCCCCGUUGCAAUGCACGGCCAUUCACCUAGUAAAGGCAAUGAUUUGUUGGUAGUAGAGGCAUCUCAUGUUUCAAAGGGUUAAACCUUAGCCGUCGUGACCCGGCUCCAUGGCUGGGUCAAUCUCGCACCUCUGUUGGUGCCGAACCCUAGGCAAAUUCCCCCAAAUCUCUUGUUGUUUCUAUUGAUUGACCGAAUGUGAGGAGCAAUAGUAGAUCAAUAACUCUCGUAUAACCGAGGGAAAAAGAAAUGAAGAGAAGUUGGCGAAAGUAUCAAGUGGUACAUCUACUUUUUAUAACAUCACAUGAAGCCGGCGAAAAGGAAAGCCGAUCAACGAAGAAACUGCAUAGGGGACCUAUCAUGAGUGAACAUUGCGUGGGCGCCAUUGGCCGCAUCUCAUCAUCUUGUUGUGUAGAAGAAGAAAUGACUGCCGAUGCUGCUGGUGCCUCCAUCUCUAUGACCUUGCCGUCCAAGCCCGCAUUAGCAACAAACACGUAGCACUAGAGCACGGGAGGAGAGUUGAUCAGGGAAAUCGCCUUUCUUGACGACAGGAGAAUUAGUGAUGGGCGACUCCACGCGACGCUGAUGUGAUUUCAGGCCACACUAAAGGAUGUCGGAGAAGGGGGCCAUAGGACGAACUCAACCGCAUCGGUAGUGGGCUUGGUGGAUAUUGUGUCGAGGGCUCGGGGACGCACUCGGUGAUGGUGGUGGACCUCGGGGAGGGGGGCCUCAUACACGUGGAUGCAGGGGAAAAGAGGGUGCACGGGCUUGAAGGCAUUACUCAUCCACCUCUUCUGGCAAAGAGAGCUCAUCGGGGCCAACCGCGUGAAGGAGGAGCUUGAGGUAGCUUGGAGGAGGCGACGACGACAACCAGAUCCAUCUGGCAAGCCAGAGUGGAGGCAUCCCACGUGGGAGCAGUGAUUUCGGUGCCUAAGCUUAGAUGCACCUGCUAUUAUGUUUGUUCAUUGCUGCAUGGAGAUUCAGGAAAUGGGGCAUGAGGUGGCAUUGCUAGGGCGUGGAAAAUCCCCAAAAUGAACUAUACAUGCAUGAAUAGUGUGAUACAUGUGGGUCUAUCGUGUAGCACACGAGGAGGGUUCGAACGAAGGACAGACGGUGCCAUCUUGGUUGGAUUCUGAUCCAUGGCACCUAAUCGUCUGCAUUCAUCUAAGUCGUGGCUCACUCUGCUGCCUGUGGCAUGACUUUGACACUUUGAAUCCGAGUCAUGGCCUAAAGAUUUGUGUAGCUCCAGUUGGGGCCUGCGGUGUAGGAUCGUCGGUACGCACACCGAAUGUCAUCCACGACCGACGUCGGCCAACAGAUUGCUAGCUUACUAGACGCUACAAGAGGUAGCGUCCUUCGUGAAGUUUGUGUGCUUCAACACCAACCAGGUCAUCCUAAGCCGUCAUGGACAACCCAUUCAUCUACGUGGUUGACUUCAACAUUGGAGACGACUUCUCAUGGUCGUUGCUCAUGUCACACCUUGCUCACCAUGGCAACAAGCUGUUUCAUGUCACGUCACUUGCCACCACAUUAAUGCACCGCGCGGAUACGCAUGCACCUACAAUCGUGCAUGGUGUCCCUCAGAGUUCACGCGCGUCCCUAGGGGCUCCCAUUCCAGUACGACGAGAAGGACCUCCUGGUCUGGGCUGGAAGUCACGUAAUGGUACCUACAACAAUCUCGAAAAGAGUAGAAGGCCUGGAUUUCGAGAGCAUCUGAGCUCGCACUUAGAAAUCUAUUUUUGUUCCCACGGUCCAUACAUAGAGAGAAACUAGAAAAGAAAAUGCAAAACACGCAUACAUGCAUGCAUGCUUCCACAAAUGGGUUACCAGAUACCUUUCUGGGGCUCUGGUGACCUCACAUUCAUUGUUGACCCCUUACGACCUCACAAUCAUGGGAGAGAUUUCAUGACCGCACACUGUCUCUAUAAAAGCCUAUCACCUCUAUGAAUCAUGUGGCUCCAUCAUUUCAAAUCCUCCGCGCGCCUAAGAUACCACUUGAGAAAUUACUAAUGGCCAACGGAAAGAAUGUCAUGGCCAUGUUGUUUCUCACCACCAUUGUGGCGGUGGCGGCCACAAGGCCAGCCGAGACCUAUGGCGCUGCGGAGGAGAACACAUUGAAGAUGGCUACCCCCAGCAAGAAAGGGGUUGACGCUACCUUAGCAGCUACACGUGUUGUUGCCGCCGAGAAGUCCAUCAAGAAGGCUGAAAGCGCCACCACACCAGAAGAGGCCGCGACUGCCAAGCAAGAUGGAGCAAAAUCUGCUUCUGCUGCAUUAAAGUACAAUGCCAUCUCUCAGCAGGCAAAUGGUAAAGGUUCUUCUACCUCCCUAGGCAGGAAAGAAGCAGCCGGUACUUUAGCCGCCGCACACUAUGCCGCCGCCGAGAAGUCCAUCAAGAAGGCCGAAACCGCCAAGACACCUGCAAAGGCCGUGGCUGCCAAGCGAGACGCAGCAAAGUCUGUUGACAAUGCAUUAAAGUAUGAUGCCAUCUCUCGGAAAGCAGCUGGUACAAGUUCUUCUACCUCCCCCAAUAGGAAAGAAGGCACCACUGAUGCUGCUAAGAUGUUCACCAAGAAGGCUGAAACCGCUACCACACCUGAAGAGGCCGCGAAUGCCAAGCAAGCUGCAGCCAAGUCUACCGCUGCUACAUCAAAGUAUGGUGUCAUUUCUCAGCAAGUAGCUGGUACAAGUUCUUCUACCUCCCCUAGCAGGAAAGAAGCUGCCGGUACCUUGGCAGAUGCUCACAUAGCUACUGCCGAGAAGUCCAUCAAGAAGGCUGAAACCGCCACCAGACCUGAAGAGGCAGCAUCCGCUAAGAAGGAUGCCGCGAAAUCUGAGGCUAAUGCAAUGCAGUACGGGGCCAUCUCUCAGCAGGCCACCGGCAAAAAUGGUGCCUAAGUGGUGCCUUAAACACCUAUUCACGCGCAACAUCAUCUACAUACUACCAUGCACGCAAAAUAGCAGCAUUGAGAUACCACGUUAUGCUAAUUCUCAUGCAUGCAUGCUUUGUUUAAACGUUCACAUUAUGAAUCAUGUAUUAAUGUCUUGCUUGUUUUAUUUUUAGUAGUAAGACACGCUUGACUUGCUUUAAAAAAAAUACAACAAUCGAUGUAUACAUGUAUCAUCUGAAAAUUAAUAAUAUGAGUUCCACCACAAUUUGUGUCUUUUUGUCAUAUUUUGGGUGCAAUCAAUGCACACAUCCAAUACACAAAAUUGGACGAGUCAAUGUGUUAUGGCUCCAUGGAGCGGCGAAUCAUGUUUUAUUGUCUUGCUUGUUUUACUUUUAGUAGUAACUAG